UUGGGUUGUAUUCAUCUAUCACCCCCGAACAAAUUGUAUGCAUAAUCUUGUUUUAUGCUGCAUGAUACUAAGGGAUAUCAAAGAAGAUGGUUUGACUUUCUGAAACUAACAAAUGAGAAGGCAACACAGUGAAUAAUUUGAUCAAUUUGAUCCACUGAUGAGUUAACAUGCAAUGUUUCUUUGGGGCUAUAGACUGUAAAGCGUGAUCGCUAAGGUUAAGCAUCUGAGGUAAAAUAUGCAUUAUAUUGUAGCUUAGUAUCAGCAGUGGAUUGGAUACUAUGUAUUUGACAUUGAAAAGGAAACACACUGCAUUCAAGCAACUCAGUUUUUUUCUUGAACGUAUGCGAGAGCUGUGUAUCAUUUCUUUUAUAGAUGAAAAAACUGUAAAAAACAGAAGAACAAGGGAAACAAAAAACCAGAGCAUAAGACCAAUGCGAAACUUUUUUGUUUUGAAAGAAACUUGGAAGGUGCUCCAGUGUGCAACAUUUUUUUUCUCGAACACGCAGGAGAGCUGCGUAUCGUUGCAUUAAUAGGAGUCAUACAUAGACCCGAACACACACACACACACACACACACACACACACACACACACACACACACACACUGGAUAGACUUGAUCACCUAUUACAUAAAUGGCAGGACCUGACCCUAAGACCUCUUGACCUCCUAACCCACUCCUCUGGCAUUGAGCAGGGAGAGCCCCUUGGCUCCUGCCAGACUCCACAUCCAGUGUGCAACAUGAAACGAAACAUUACGAGCGACCUUCUGUAGUUCCCCCUCUUUUGGGUUUAGCACAGAAACCAGCACCAUCUGAAGUUCUGGCAAUCUUGAUUGUCGAGUGACUCAUUCCAUAGAGUGCUUUAGAAUGGGCAGCAUACCAACACAUGCUUCUGGUGGGCAACUGUUGGAUCACCAGAUGAUGGAAAAUGAAAGAGAACCUGUGUUGCUUAAUCUGGUAUAUCUCCGUGCAAGUUUGACAUUGUUACAUAUAAUUUCUACCUGCACUGAAAAAUUUGUUGUGGUACAAUAUAAAAGCUGUCAAUUAAGUAAUGUUUUUCCAAAAUAAGGAAAAAAAUCACUGUUAAAAAAAUGAUAGCAAUGCACUAGCAUUCCAUCAGCAGUUAUGCUUUAUGUUUUUUUAAUACUGAUUUUAAGCAUAUAGGAAUCUUGUGUGCUCUUAAAUUUUUAGGUAAUGUAUUUGCUGCUGAAUACUUUUUAAUAUUCUGACCACUGAGCAUUGUGGAUCGCAUUUGCUUGUCCUCAGAGACUGCAACAGAAUUUGCUAUAUCACUCAUCCAGACACUGGUUACCCAAGAUUCCAGUAGCGUCUCCGAGCUUUUUAAUGUUGUUGAUGUCUUAUCGAAGGUAUGUAUGAGUGCAUGUUUUAUAUUAUGGUCGUCUCCUAGUUGGCUUGCCAGUAAUGGUGAUGUGUGCUGUGUUCCAGCUUGCAACGAGGCCUGGGUCACCUGAUUCAUUGCAGCACUUGAUUGAAAUUGCAAGGAGUACCUUCAACAACACUGCUAAUUAUGCUGCUGCAAAGGAUGAAAAGGUUAUUCAGUCAAGAGAUAAAAAGGUGAAAUUGCAUUAUAAGUUGUUGCUAAUUUCCUAACAAUACAUGUUCUUUCCGACAUUGAUAAAUUGCUCCUUAAUGGUGGCAGGUACUAUCUGUUCGUCCUUUGAUGAAUAACGAAGAAGAUAAUGCUGAUGGCAUUGCUUUUGCUAAUGCUGCUGAUUUUCAGGACAAGGUUCAGAAACACAUUGAACUAUCUUUUUUCUUUUAUCAGGCACUAUUCGAUUUUUUGCAAGAGUUUUUUUUAUUAUUAUAGUGUUGUAACAAUAUGCUGAAUUGUAACGUGAUUCAGUGAGCCUUUUUGAUAUUUUCAAGUAUAAAAUAAACUUUGUAGUUGAGUGUAUAUUGGUAAAUUUGAAUAAACACCCCCAUAAAAUCACUUAUGGGGGUGUUUAUGCAAUUUUACCGUGUAUAUUCCUGGUACUGCUUUGUAUCCGAUAUAGUAAAUACCAUGCAUAGAUUGGUUUAUGUAUAGUUCAAAAUUAUUUUCGCAUUCAGCACUUGAGCUUUAAGCUUCCUAGAGAGCUAAUAUGGUAAUUUAUUGGUCCACAGGUUGCGGUCUUGUUUUCCGAGUGGUGUCAAAUAUGUGAUCAUCCCGCUAUGGGUGAUUCAGUAUAUAAUAAUUACAUUGUGCAGUUGCAACAGAAUGGCUUGCUGAAGGGAGAUGAUGUGACUGACCGUUUUUUCAUUAGUCUGACGGUAAUUCUCUUACUCUUGUUCUAUAAUACUACUGAUCCACUUGAUACUUGAGUUCUGAUGUUAUAAAAUUCUCCAGGAACUUGCUAUCGCACACUCUCUUGUGUCUGACCAAACCAUUGCUCCUAGUGGACUAUCUCAGCAAUCAUCCCAGCAACAGCAGAUUUCAUAUUUUUCAAUUGAUUCAUAUUCAAAACUUGUGACUUCAGUUGUCAAGGUAUGCCCAAUUCUGUUCUAUUUGUGCACUCGUAACUUCUGUAGGUUUCUGGGCAUUGUUCCUUGAUUAUAGGCGCAUGAGAUUCUGCGUAUAAUACUUCCAUUUAGGAGGUUAAAGUGUUAAACCAAGUCUACAGUGUUGGGGUCAACUCAAGUUGAUGUGCAUAUAUGUCCUGUUCACUAUUAGGGUACAAUCAGCCUUGUUAACAGCAAGCUAAACUUGGUACUUUAUUAAACUGUUCAUAUGAGCUGUAAACUUCUACCAAUAUUUAUUUACCAGUGAAAUUAUCACAUAUGAAUUCUAAUUUCAUAUGGAACUAGUGAAGUGAUAUACAGGAAAUAUUGUUAUUUGACUCGUUUUGGAUGAAAGAGUAUGCAAAGUUUCAUGGUUAAUCUUCACUGUAUUUUGAGAAAAUGGAUUGGGAACUACAUGAUCAUGAAAUCUUGCGGGGUCAUAGUCUCAUAGAAGUAUAGAACAUCCCUUCCUCUUUGUCAAUGAAUGCUUUUGGAAUAUUUGUGCAAACAUUUCCGCUCUGAAUAUUUUGCUUAACUGUCUUCCUGGAUUAUUAGGUAGUUUUAUUUGGUCACACCUUUUAAUAGCUUUAUUCAUUUAACAACUAUAAACCAUAUCAGCAUUAAACAUUAACUAGUGCUGUUGCUGAACUUAUUCAAAUAUAUAUAAACUGUUCAUUUCUGUUCAGGUGGUUUUAUUUACUAAGUAAUUGCAUAGAACAUGUUUUAAGUUGAUUUUACAGCAAAAUACUUUUCAUAAUCACUGAACAAUGGUAAAUGCAUUGUGGAAAGCAUACUUUUAUUGCUGUAUGUAAGCUGUUUGUGAUAAAUCGUACUUGCUGUUAAUAAUUUGUAUUCUUUCAGCAGUCAGUGGAUUUAGGACCAAAUAAAGGCAGUCUUCUCCACAAGGUAAGUGGUUACCUGAAUUAAGGAUGCUCUUGAUGAAUAUUGUUACUUUGUUAGGCUUAAAGGUUUCCCUUGAUUUUUGUGUGCAGAUACUUGCUGUGACAGCUAGGAUAAUUCAGAAAGAUGCUGAAGAAAAGAAAGUCUCUUUCAAUCCUCGGCCGUAUUUUCGUUUGUUUAUAAAUUGGCUAAGUGAGCUUACUACUUCUGACCUUCACCAUGACAGUGCUAAUUUUCAGGUACACAUGUAUAAUGUGGCAUGUAUAUGUUGCUAAUUUUGACAUUUAGUCUGACAUUCACAUUGCCAAAUGUUCGGACCAUUUAUCUGACGCAGUUAGUUUUUCCAGAUUUUGACUGCAUUUGCAAAUGCAUUCCAUAUUCUGCAACCCUUGAGAGUUCCUGCUUGGAGGUAUGUUAUGCCCUUUUGUUCCCACUUGCCAACUUCCUGAAUUAUUUCGCUUCCCACUUGCUUUAACGUUCAUUCCUUUUCUUUUCAUGAAACAAUAGUUGUCAUUGCAUGUUCAUUGGCACUAAAUAUUUUCCAACACCUUGUGUUGAAGUUGAAAAUUUUUCGAAUGGCAUUUAGUAUUUGAAGAUGUAUGCUUGCAUGUUACUACAUUACUAUACUGUUUUGUUGCUCAUUAACUAAUUACAUUUUCCAUGUAGUUUUGCUUGGCUUGAGUUGGUGAGCCACCGAUGCUUCAUGCCAAAGUUAUUGAUGUGUAAUUUGCAAAAAGGCUGGCCGUUUUUCCAGAGGUUGCUUGUUGAUUUGUUCAAAUUCAUGGAACCAUACUUAAGAAAUGCUGAACUGGGACAACCUGUAAGUUUGGUUCCUGCAUUUCCGGUAAUACCUCUUAGAUUAUUAUUUGCUGCAUUAUGAUUUUCUUUGUUCUUUUGUUUCUUUUGCAGAUUCUCCUUUUGUACAAAGGAACCUUAAGAGUUCUGCUUGUGCUAUUGCAUGAUUUCCCUGAAUUUCUUUGUGACUAUCACUUCAGUUUCUGUGAUGUGAUUCCCCCAAGCUGCAUUCAAAUGCGCAAUGUUAUUCUUAGUGCUUUUCCACGCAAUAUGAGACUUCCAGAUCCCUCCACUCCUAACUUAAAGGUAUUUGUCACUUGUGAAGACUUUGUGCUUCCAUUGCUGCAGUCACAUCUUAUAGAUGUUUGAUCAAUUCCAGUUGUUUCUUGUGAUAUAGAUUGAUCUGUUAGCGGAGAUUUCAAUAGCUCCUCGAAUCAUGACUGAUGUGGAUGCUGCCUUGAAGGCAAAGCAAAUGAAGGCUCAGGUUGAUGAAUACCUAAAGGUGGAUGGCAAUUAUCUGUAUUUUGUAUUUUAUGUGCUUAUCAUACUUAUGUAUCUCUCUGGUGCAAGGCUGAUAUACAUAGUGCAGCUUCAUAAUUCUCUAAUUUUAGUGGAUAUUGCUAGAAGCCUUCUUCUAGACUGAUCUGUUGAGUACAUUAGAAAGUACCCGCAAAUUCACCAAUUAUGAGUUGGGUGUUUUAACCAUUCAGCCAUAGUUUUGUUAAUUUGAAGGAUGGCGUAGCUAACAUAAUAUUCUCUUAUUGUCAUCCCUGCAGAGACCAGAAGGCUCCCUCUUUUUAACUGAUCUAAAGCAGAAGUUGUUGCUACCACAAAACGAGGCAAAUGUUGCAGGGACUCGUUACAAUGUUCCUCUAGUUAAUUCACUUGUCCUUUACGUUGGCAUGCAGGUUAGUUGUGAAGUCCUCCAUUUGAUGUCAUGCUUCUUCUGUAAUAUAUUUUUUAGGUGAUUUAAAAUGAAUUAAUUAUUUUUUGUCCUGUAUGUUUAUCCUACAAGCUUGCAAACAUAUUAAGCUUUUAUCGUAUCAUGUUUCUCUAGAUGUUACAAUCUAUGCAUGCAUUUUCAUUUUUCUGUGCUAAUUCUACAUUCGUUCUGGGUUAUAGCUAAUUUAUUAUACCUGUUGUUUGUUUUGUACCAAAUUCUCUUCUUUUGAACAAGUACAGCAAUCUACAGUUUUGCAUAUUGUAAGAAUCUAAGCUGGUGUUAAAAUUAUAAAUGCAGGCUGUGCAACAGUUGCAGCAAAACAAGGCCAAUGCUUCAGCAUCAGCCCAAAUUAACCAAAGUCCUCAGAUGGAUAUAUUCCAGAUUGAAACAGCUACUGAGAUGUUCAGAAACCUUGUAAUGACUAUGGAUACAGAAGGUCGCUACCUUAUUCUCAAUGCAAUUGCUAACCAGCUUCGCUAUCCAAAUAGCCAUACCCACUACUUUUCUUUCAUCAUUCUGUACUUGUUUGCUGAGGCAACCCAGGUAAUUAUCCUUUCUUCCUAUUUCUGUUGGAUUAUUUCAUCCUUGUAAUAUCUUUCUGACAAAGAAUGCUAUUGAAACACAGGAAAUUGUCCAGGAGCAGAUAACUAGGGUUCUUUUGGAAAGGUUAAUUGUCAACCGUCCUCAUCCUUGGGGAUUACUCAUUACUUUCAUUGAGCUGAUAAAGGUAUGCUACCUUGAUUUUUCGGAACAGAUACGCAUAUGUGAAUUUGAAAAUGAAAAAGGUGCGUCUUUUUUCAGAACCCACGCUACAGCUUCUGGACCAGAUCCUUUACACACUGUGCGCCCGAGAUAGAGAAGCUGUUCGAGUCAGUUGCAAGGUCGUGUGGAGGGAAAGGUGCUGAUGACGGAAUUGGUCUCGGAGAUGGUGGCCACUAGGGAAAUGCGUCUUGUUUGUACAUUUGUCGAUACUAUAGACUAGAAUUCUGACACAUUGGCUCUAAUUUUGCUGUUGCAGUACCUCUAUAGAUUGCUCUAAGUUAUUGUACAGAGCUAGCGCACCUCGCACUGCGAGGGCCAGUCAACCGUGAUUGCUAUGUGAACCUGCCCUCUGAAGUAAAACUUGAUGGUUUUCUCUGGAAUGCAGAUUGUGCUAAGUAAGCUGGAAGUUGAGCCUUGAUCCUUUUUUAGGGCAAGUUGAGCCAUGAUAUGAUAUGAGGUCCGUACCAUUCGCCUUGGGUUAGUAAAAGUAAUCAUGUGCAAUGUUUGCAUGCGUCGUACUCCUUGUAAAACGAAUUAUUAAUGGAGGUGUCUCCUUGUUAACGAUUGCGAUUUGUUUUUUCCCUCGAUCAUGCUCUAAAACCGUUGGAUCUACUUUCAACGGCUCAGAUCCACCUUUUUUAACCUUGUCUUUUCUCUCUACUUUCUCCCGCUCCGUCUUCCUCGCGCCGUACGACGCCUGCUCCAUCUUCGUCGCUCCGCAUGACGCGAGUCGUGCGACUACGCGUCCUAAUAAAAAAUCGUGGGACUCCGCUGCUCAACGGUAACCCCCUUUGGCCUGUACUCGCGACAUUUGAGUUUAAUGCCUAAGCCUAGAAAACAAUUGAAAACUUUUCUCAUCUAAAUUGGAGCCACUUUACCUGUCGCACCAGAUCCAUUUGUCAUGUAACUGAGGGACAUAGGGUAGAGACCCAUAGAAAUCGAUGAGUUAGAAAAUGUUUCUACUAAAAGCUAUUUCUUUUUUCACCUGUCCUUCCCUACCCACCGUAGAGCGCUCCGCGUUCCCCGACCAGCCGCGCUCCCGCUUCCCCGCGGUCAAGGCUGAGCGCGACCCAGCCCAAGUCGUCGACAGCGCCCAGCCCUGCGCACCCGCCCGCAGCGACCUCCCAUUUCCCCGCCCGCCUCGCUGCCCCGGGCGAUACGCCCCGCUGCCAGCCGCGCCGUCCCGUGUCGCCUCGCCGUGUCCCGUGUCGCGUGCCCAAUCUUCUGAUCGCCGACAGCGGAGGCGGAGACAGGCAGCGCUCGCCCGCGCCUUCCUCUCGUCUCACACAUGUGCUGUCGCCGUCCGGCCAAAUCCGCCCGCACCUCGAUAUAUACCCAAAGGCCCGUCCGUGGUCCCUGGCCCCCGAAUAUGCCCCUGCCGGCCAGGGGUGGCCUACUUCGGACCUGGUUUGGUUAACUGACUUAAAUUUAAGCAUCCAUCACAUCGAAUGUUUAAAUACUAAUUAGAAGUAUUAAAACGUAGAUUAUUUAUAAAAUCGAUUACAUAAGUGGAGACUAAACGGCGAGACGAAUCUAUUAAGCCUAAUUAGUCCAUGAUUUGACAAUGUGUUGCUACAGUAAACAUUUGCUAAUGAUGGAUUAAUUAGGCUUAAUAGAUUCGUCUCGCCGUUUAGCCUCCACUUAUGUAAUGAGUUUUGUAAGUAGUCUACGUUUAAUACUCCUAAUUAAUAUCUAAACAUUCAAUGUGACACGUGCUAAAAAUAAGCAAAAGUAACCAAACGAACCCUACGACUCUCCAUCUCCAGGCCAGGCGCGACGUGCUGCGGUUGCCGAGGCAUCUCCAACCCCAUGGCGCUAGGCACGUCUUCAACGCCCCCCCGAUAGUGCUGCCUCAACAGAGCUGCGUGUGUUCAGAUGGCUCCUAAGUAGAAGUGUAAACCACUUCAUAUAUCUACAUGUAUUUUUCUUUGCUAUCAUGGUUUUACCAGGUCCAUUCUUAUUUGUUUGUUUAUUAGUAUACCUUUACUUUUUAGUACAAUUGAUCCGGACAUGUCAUUUUGUUUCAUUCAAGCUUUAUGUAGGAAUUUAAUAUGACCUGAACACAAUGCAUGUGAUUCAGGAUUUUGGGAAAGUAUUUGUAAAGCCUUAUUCCAGUGGCUGCCAUUUUCAUUAAACAAAUUGCAGUAAAGUUUAUAUUAGGAUAACAUAAAACAUAUCUCAUAUGUGGUGAUACAGUCUAACACUUUUAAGCAUCAGCCUGCUUAUUUUUUUUUUAGAUUAUGGAUAACAUCCACACCUAAAUAUAUAUAGCCAAAAAAUUAUCAGAGUUCUUAGAUUUCAAUUCUCAAAACUGAGAAACCCAACAAACAAUAGAAAAAACACAAGACUAAGAAAGAAAGCUAGAAAAACUAAGCUUCUAACUUCUUCUACGUUCUUGCUUCAACCUUGUUUUGUGCUCAUGCAGCCACAAAUCAUCACAUCACUCAUCUACUUAGAAACUCUUGAUGUCAGAAAUGCUUCAACCUUUUUUUGUGCUCAUGCAGCAACAAAUCAUCACAUCACUCGUCUACUUAGAAACUCUUGAUGUCAGAAAUGUCCUGCAGUAAAACGGCUACUAGAUGCUUGUUCAAUCCAUGUCGUGGAGGAACCGAACUAAGUCGAUAUUGAUCAAGACCUCAAGCAAUCUCACAUCACACCCGCUGAACAACCUCCACCAACUACCCAAGAGAGCUAGGAGUGGUAGUGGCAACCGGCAGAGCUCCCAAGACGACACCUCAAGGGACGGGACAACACCACUGCGCCGCCGUCGUCUGACCAAACUGGUUAAGGUCUUCACUUGAAAAGCUCGCCGGAGAGGAGGGAAUAGGAACCACGGAUGAUGCCUUCAAGAAGGUAAAUGGAGGGCCACGAUGGAGCUCCAGCUCGCCCACGCAGCCAUGGCGGAGCUCGCCCGCUCGUUGUUGCUCCCUCUCGCGUGACAGACGGGGGGCAACGGAGUUGAAGUGGGACGACCCCGUCCGCUCGUUUUUGGCGGACGGGAGCGUCCCGGAUAUUUGCGGUAUAUUCCCUACUAGGGACGACCCCAUCCCGUAUGCUUCUCAACCAAACACUGGCAAAAAUGGGAUCGUCCCGUCCCGUCCUCGGAACCAAACGCACCCUGAAUGGUCUUGCCCUUUCAGCUUUGAAAAAAAGUAAUAAUUGGCCAACUUUGGCUCAGGAUUGUGAAAAAUUCUUUAUGUAGAUAUUAGAGUUUAACAUGAAAAAUGGGAUCUAUAAUACAUAGUCAACAAUGGACAGUAGCUCUUGGACAAGAAAAGGUUGGUUUGAAUAUUUGAAUUGAAGCUCAAAAAUGGAACCCAGUUGCUGUUCUAAGGUUUGUCUGACGAACUGAAUUGCAAGUCCAGUGAUCACUGACAAACUGAAUGGCAGUUGCCAUUGCACUCUGAAAACGGCAAUAAGUAGCCAACUUUGGCUCAAAGUCUGAAAAAGUUCUACAAAAGAGUGUUGGCCAAUAACCUGCAAAAUGGGUUGUAGGAUCUAUGGUUAACCAAUGUCAGUACCUAUUGUACAAGAAAAAGGAGGUUUAAAUAUUUAAAUGGGAGCUCAAAAUUUGAAUCUUGUACUGACGGUUAUAACUGGAACAAGCUCGAGUUCGAGUUUCAGCCAAAGUUCAGAGAAAAUUUGAACUAGUUGUUGGAGAGGGAAAAGAAGGAUUUCAAAUUUAAUUGGGAGCUCAAAAUUGGAAAGUGCCCACAGUUCCAGACUUAACUGUUGGACUGAAUGGCAAAUGCCAUCGAGUCUGAAAACAGUAAGGAGUGGCCUACUUUGGAUCUAGUUUUUGAGAAUUUUUACAUGUAGAUCUUGGACAAGAACAUGCAAAAUGGAAUGUAUAACAUGAGGUUAACAAGUUUCAGCAGUUUUUGGACAAUAAAAAGUUGGUUUUAAUAAUUAAAUUGGAGCUCAAAGAUUGAAAGCGGCACUGUUUCAACAUGGGAUGUUAACUGACGAGCAGAUUCACAGAAAGCUCGAGUUUUUGCCAGGUUCAGAGUUUAUGUUCUCCAAAUCCUUUGAUCGUUGGAACAAAAGCGAUAUCUAUGGCUUGUAGCUGAGUUAACCAUAUACAUUUUUGGUUAAAGGAUCGGGACGAUUUGAUGAAUGGUUUGGUUGAAUUCCAUCAAAGAACACGCCGGGUUUUCCCCCAAAUGUGCCUUGUUACCGCCUUUGUUCCAGCAGUCUGCCUGCUUGCUUGCUGGCCCCGCCGCUUUACCUCGCCUGGCUGUCACGCAGUCGACCGCCUUGCCGUCCAAGCUCUUCUCACGCCACGUCCACGUAACCAAGCUGCUGGCACUCUCUACCACCUUACCCGACCUAUAAACCCGAGCUGCCAUCACCGUCCGUCUUUUUCCCCAUCCGCAAGCACAGAGUAGAUCAGAGCCACCUCGCGCUCGAUUCCGGGAGCCUUGCUGCAUCUUGAUCCAAUUCCUCGCGCCCACAGAUCCUCCACAACCCAAUACACACCCCACACCCCUCCUUUUUGCGGCUAAGCGCCGGCCAAGUCGAUCUCGUCGUUGUUUCUGUCCGUCGGCCGCCAUAGACACCCUCACGGUGAGCACCUGGUUUUUGUUCUUAUCCGUAUGAGAUGUUGGCCCAGAUAGCUUGUGUAGAGACUUCGGAAGCUAUAGUGCAAGCUUGUUGCCGUAGAGACCGGCCGGAGUGCCAUUGUCGUCAUCGUCCGCGUCGGCAAGUCAUGGCCGUGCCCACCGCCGUAGUCGCACGCCCUUCUCCUAUCCACCAGCUUCGUCAAGAACACCACCAGAGGAUGCGCAAGGACCUAGGUAACACAGCCGGUUAGUCCCCGCCAUCGGAAACCUCGCCGCCGGCGAGCAAGCGCCGCUACCCCGCCGGGGGUACUCGCGAUCAAGGCGGGCAACUGUGCCUUGACCCGGGGGCCCGCUUGUCAGUGGCCGUGGGUAGGUGGAGCGCGGGUGAGAAAAGAGAGUUCCGACGGGUUUUGGGGAAAAAUAGAUUUAGGUGUUUUAGAUAUUAGUUUUAAAUCCAGUUCUCAUAUUUAAUUCACCAAAAUUUGUACAAUUGUCAAAAAUAGUGAAACAAAUUUUGUUAGGUUUGUUUUAUUUUCCUUUAUGCAUUAAAAUUCUUAAACCUUAGGAGAAGAUAAUAAAAAUUAGGUAUUUAUUUAGUACCUUUAUUUAAGGUAUUUAAAUAAAUACUUAACCUUUAUCAAAUGUAUAAAAAUUUUAAUAAUGUUUUUAUUAUUCAAAAAUGCUUAUUAAUCCAUAGGAAUUAGGUUUUGAGAUUAGAAAUUAUUUAUAAUACUUUUCUAAAUAAAAUAAAAGGUUUAAGUUAGGUUAGUUAAGAAAAUUAAUUUGUGGGUUAAUCUUUUGGGUAGAUUAGUGUUGGCUUGCAACUUGUAUAGUCGUAUUCUAAUUGUGCCUUGCAUCAUAUCAUAGAACCUGAAGCUCCUAAAGUGGAUUUCGUGAAAUUAUCUGAAAGUUUAAGGAACGUGUUAAAGUUGCUCCUUUUAUUAACACUUUUUUACCCCAGGCAAGCCCUGAAGCAUCUACACCUAUCUACUUUUAGAAAUUAGUAUUCAUGUGUUCAAAUUAUUGGUUAUUUCCCUAUUUAUGCAUGAGGUCUAGAAGUGGAUUGAAACCUUACUUUCAUGCACAAUCCGACAAUCCGACCAUGUUUGUUAAGGACAUCUAUACCGCCUGUUCAAAAUAGCCUGUUCCAAAUAAUUAGUAAUUGUCCCAUGCUUAGCAAAGUGUAAUCAUGCAAUUCCAAUCUUUUUAGUACCUCUGGUGCUCACCAACCUAAGGUAACGUUGUUCAUAUAUGUUUUAUCUGAGUACCUAACAUUGUUCAUAUAUGUUUUAUGUCAAGGAAAUGGCCUGUUUUGAAAAUAGUGGACGGAAGCUUGGAUGGAAUCAAGAAAGGAGACUUGAGCUCCAUAGUUCCGUCUACUCGGUUAAUGAAUUAAGGCCCGUUCGUUGUCUUAACCAGUGAUCAAGUGAUUUUACCUAGUUGCUUACUGUUUAUGGGACCAGUAAAGUCUGGUAGGUUAGUUGGCUCUUUGAUUGGAAAUAUUCUUACCCGUGCUUGAUGUGCUGGAGAAUGGCAGGGGCGUAGUCUGAAACUCACAUGGAGAUCAGGCCAGAUGUGGGGUCUUAUGUGGGGGUGCGUCCCUGGAUUCGGGUAAUUAUAAUUCCGAUCUUUGGGUACGGCUAAUUGAAAGGUCGUUAUGCGCAACUCACGUAGUUGUGCAUGGCUGGUGAUUAGGUAUUUCCUAUAGGAUGUAAAUCGGUAUGGAUCGUUGCAAUUGUCGAUUAUGAAUGCACUUGAUCAUCACUUAAGCAUCGAAGAGUAAUCAAAUUGAAUAUAAUUUUUUCCUUGAAUUAUUAAUAUUGUAUGAUGUUUAGUUCCACUUGAUUGAUCAAAAUGUUUUAUUCACCUAACCAGGUAAGAACUAAUUAGUUUUAAAAUAAUAAAACUAACGUUCCACAAGUAGUAAGUUUUUCGCAAAAAUGUUGAGUCAGCAAAUACACUAAAAAGGCUAUUAUGCUCCUUAAAAUUUUAUUUUAGUUUAUCUAGACCUUCAUACUAAGGGGAUCCUCUUUUGUUGUUUUCCGCCGUACAGCAGCGGUCUACCGAAGAUGAAGGCUCGAAGAACUAGGGUAGUUUACGAGUCUCGCAAUACCCUAGUAAUAAACUUAGUUAUAAAUUUAGUUGUUUAAUUACUUUACUUCCCAUUGUUUAUGUUUGAAACUCUCAGAACGGUUUUUUAACUUGCACCAUAAGUUUGUUUUGUUUCAAUAUAUGGUUUGCAAUAAUUCGCACCUUCAAUAUUUAUGGAAAAAUGUAAAUUUGUUGAUGUUUUCCCUUCGUGGAAGCGAUCCUAAUGUACAGUUAAGAUUCAAGUGGUGGAUGAUUCAAGGCGUCCUAGGAACACUCGAUACACUCGACAGUCGACCGCCUUGCCAUCCAAGCUCUUCUCACGCCACGUCCACGUAACCAAGCUGCUGGCACUCUCUACCGCCUUACCCGGCCUAUAAAAAACCCGAGCUGCCGUCGCCGUCCGUCUUUUUCCCCAUCCGCAACCACAGAGUAGAGCAGAGCCACCUUGCACUCGAUUCCGGGAGCCCUGCUGCAUCUUGAUCCAAUUCCUCGCGCCCACAGAUCCUCCACAACCCAAUACACACCCCACACCCCUCCUUUUUGCAGCUAAGCGCCGGCCAAGUCGAUCUCGUCGUUGUUUCUGUCCGUCGGCCGCCAUAGACACCCUCACGGUGAGCACCUGGUUUUUGUUCUUAUCCGUAUGAGAUGUUGGCCCAGAUAGCUUGUGUAGAGACUUCGGAAGCUAUAGUGCAAGCUUGUUGCCGUAGAGACCGGCCGGAGUGCCAUUGUCGUCAUCGUCCGCGUCGGCAAGUCAUGGCCGUGUCCACCGCCGUAGUCGCACGCCCUUCUCCUGUCCACCAGCUUCGUCAAGAACACCACCAGAGGAUGCGCAAGGACCUAGGUAACACAGCCGGUUAGUCCCCGCCACCGGAAACCUCGCCGCCGGCGAGCAAGCGCCGCUACCCGCCGGGGGUACUCGCGAUCAAGGCGGGCAACUGUGCCUUGACCCGGGGGCCCGCUUGUCAGUGGCCGUGGGUAGGUGGAGCGCGGGUGAGAAAAGAGAGUUCCGGCGGGUUUUGGGGAAAAAUAGAUUUAGGUGUUUUAGAUAUUAGUUUUAAAUCCAGUUCUCAUAUUUAAUUCACCAAAAUUUGUACAAUUGUCAAAAAUAGUGAAACAAAUUUUGUUAGGUUUGUUUUAUUUUCCUUUAUGCAUUAAAAUUCUUAAACCUUAGGAGAAGAUAAUAAAAAUUAGGUAUUUAUUUAGUACCUUUAUUUAAGGUAUUUAAAUAAAUACUUAACCUUUAUAAAAUGUAUAAAAUUUUUAAUAAUGUUUUAUUAUUCAAAAAUGCUUAUUAAUCCAUAGGAAUUAGGUUUUGAGAUUAGAAAUUAUUUAUAAUACUUUUCUAAAUAAAAGAAAAGGUUUAAGUUAGGUUAGUUAAGAAAAUUAAUUUUUAGGUUAAUCUUUUGGGUAGAUUAGUGUUGGCUUGCAACUUGUAUAGUCGUAUUCUAAUUGUGCCUUGCAUCAUAUAAUUGAACCUGAAGCUCCUAAAGUGGAUUUCGUGAAAUUAUCUGAAAGUUUAAGGAAGGUGUUGAAGUUGCUCCUUUUAUUAAAACUUUUUUACCCCAGGCAAGCCGUGAAGCAUCUACACGUAUCUAUUUUAGAAAAUUACUAUUCAUGUGUUCAAAUUAUUGGUUAUUUCCCUAUUUAUGCAUUAGGUCUAGAAGUGGAUUGCAACCUUACUUUCAUGCACAAUCCGACAAUCCAACCUUGUUUGUUAAGGACAUCUUUACUGCCUGUUCAAAAUAAUUAGUAAUUGUCCCAUGCUUAGCAAAGUGUAACCAUGCUAUUCCAAUCUUUUUAGUACCUCUGGUGCUCACCAACCUAAGGUAACAUUGUUCAUAUAUGUUUUAUGUCAAGGAAAUGGCCUGUUUUGAAAAUAGUGGACGGAAGCUUGGAUGGAAUCAAGAAAGGAGACUUGAGCUCCGUAGUUCCGUCUACUCGGUUAAUGAAUUUAGGCCCGUUCGUUGUCUUAACCAGUGAUCAAGUGAUUUUACCUAGUUGCUUACUGUUUAUGGGACCAGUAAAGUCCGGUAGGUUAGUUGGCUCUCUGAUUGGAAAUAUUCUUACCCGUGCUUGAUGUGUUGGAGAAUGGCAGGGGCGUAGUCUGAAACUCACAUGGAGAUCAGGCAAGAUGUGGGGUCCUAUGUGGGGGUGCGUCCCUGGAUUCGGGUAAUUAUAAUUCCGAUCUUUGGGUACGGCUAAUUGAAAGGUCGUUAUGCGCAACUCACGCAGUUGUGCAUGGCUGGUGAUUAGGUAUUUCCUGUAGGAUGUAAAUCGGUAUGGAUCGUUGCAAUUGUUGAUUAUGAAUGCACUUGAUCAUCACUUAAGCAUCGUAGAGUAAUCAAAUUGAAUAUAAUGUUUUCCUUGAAUUAUUAAUAUUGUAUGAUGUUUAGUUCCACUUGAUUGAUCAAAAUGUUUUAUUCACCUAACCAGGUAAGAACUAAUUAGUUUUAAAAUACUAAAACUAACGUUCCACAAGUAGUAAGUUUUUCGCAAAAAUGUUGAGUCAGCCAGUACACUAAAAAGGCUAUCAUGCUCCUUAAAAUUUUAUUUUAGUUUAUCUAGACCUUCAUACUAAGGGGAUCCUCUUUUGUUGUUUUCCGCCGUACAGCAGCGGUCUACCGAAGAUGAAGGCUCGAAGAACUAGGAUAUUUCACGAGUCUCGCAAUACCCUAGUAAUAAACUUAGUUAUAAAUUUAGUUGUUUAAUUAUUUUACUUCCGAUUGUUUAUGUUUGAAACUCUCAGAACGGUUUUUUAACUUGCACCAUAAGUUUGUUUUGAUUCAAUAUAUGGUUUGCAAUAAUUCACACCUUCAAUAUUUAUGGAAAAAUGUAAAUUUGUUGAUGUUUUCCCUUCGUGGAAGCGAUCCUAAUGUAUAGUUAAGAUUCAAGUGGUGGAUGAUUCGAGGCAUCCUAGGAACACUCGAUACACUCGACAGUCGACCGCCUUGCCAUCCAAGCUCUUCUCACGCCACGUCCACGUAACCAAGCUGCUGGCACUCUCUACCGCCUUACCCGGCCUAUAAAAAACCCGAGGUGCCGUCGCCGUCCGUCUUUUUCCCCAUCCGCAAGCACAGAGUAGAGCAGAGCCGCCUCGCGCUCGAUACCAGGAGCCUUGCUGCAUCUUGAUCCAAUUCCUCGCGCCCACAGAUCCUCCACAACCCAAUACACACCCCACACCCCUCCUUUUUUCAGCUAAGCGCCGGCCAAGUCGAUCUCGUCGUUGUUUCCAUCCGUCGGCCGCCAUAGACACCCUCACAGUGAGCACCUGGUUUUUGUUCUUAUCCGUAUGAGAUGUUGGCCCAGAUAGCUUGUGUAGCGACUUCGGAAGCUAUAGUGCAAGCUUGUUGCCGUAGAGACUGGCCGGAGUGCCAUUGUCGUCAUCAUCCACGCCGGCAAGUCAUGGCCGUGUCCACCGCCGUAGUCGCACGCCCUUAUCCAGUCCACCAGCUUCAUCAAGAACACCACCAGAGGAUGCGCAAGGACCUAGGUAACAUAGCCGGUUAGUCCCCGCCGCCAGAAACCUCGCCGCCGGCGAGCUAGUGCCGCUACCCGCCAGGGGUACCCGCGAUCAAGGCGGGCAACUGUGCCUUGACCCGGGGGCCCGCUUGUCAGUGGCCGUGGGUAGGUGGAGCACGGGUGAGAAAAGAGAGUUCCGGCAGGUUUUGGGGAAAAAUAGAUUUAGGUGUUUUAGAUAUUAGUUUUAAAUCCAGUUCUCAUAUUUAAUUCACCAAAAUUUGUAGAAUUGUCAAAAAUAGUGAAACAAAUUUUGUUAGGUUUGUUUCAUUUUCCUUUAUGCAUUAAAAUUCUUAAACCUUAGGAGAAGAUAUAAAAAAUUAGGUAUUUAUUUAGUACCUUUAUUUAAGGUAUUUAAAUAAAUACUUAACCUUUAUAAAAUGUAUAAAAUUUUUAAUAAUAUUUUAUUAUUCAAAAAUGCUUAUUAAUCCAUAGGAAUUAGGUUUUGAGAUUAGAAAUUAUUUAUAAUACUUUUCUAAAUAAAAGAAAAGGUUUAAGUUAGGUUAGUUAUGAAAAUUAAUUUGUGGGUUAAUCUUUUGGGUAGAUUAGUGUUGGCUUGCAACUUGUAUAGUCAUAUUCUAAUUGUGCCUUGCAUCAUAUCAUAGAACCUGAAGCUCCUGAAGUGGAUUUUGUGAAAUUAUCUGAAAGUUUAAGGAAGGUGUUGAAGUUCCUCCUUUUAUUAACACUUUUAUACCCCAGGCAAGCCCUGAAGCAUCUAUACCUAUCUAUUUUCAGAAAUUACUAUUCAUGUGUUCAAAUUAUUGGUUAUUUCCCUAUUUAUGCAUUAGGUCUAGAAGUGGAUUGAAACCUUACUUUCAUGCACAAUCCGACAAUCUGACCUUGUUUGUUAAGGACAUCUUUACCGCCUGUUCAAAAUAGCCUGUUCAAAAUAAUUAGUAAUUGUCCCAUGCUUAGCAAAGUGUAAUCAUGCUAUUCCAAUCUUUUUAGUACAUCUGGUGCUCAGCAACCUAAGGUAACAUUGUUCAUAUAUGUUUUAUCUGAGCACCCUAAGGUAACAGUGUUCAUAUAUGUUUUAUGUCAAGGAAAUGGCCUGUUUUGAAAAUAGUGGACGGAAGUUCGGAUGGAAUCAAGAAAGGAGACUUGAGCUCCGUAGUUCCGUCUACUCGGUUAAGGAAUUAAGGCCCGUUCGUUUGUCUUAACUAGUGAUCAAGUGAUUUUACCUAGUUGCUUACUGUUUAUGGGACCAGUAAAGUCCGGUAGGUUAGUUGGCUCUCUGAUUGGAAAUAUUCUUACUUGUGCUUGAUGUGCUGGAGAAUGGCAGGGGCGUAGUCUGAAACUCACAUGGAGAUCAGGCCAGAUGUGGGGUCCCAUGUAGGGGUGGGUCCCUGGAUUCGGGUAAUUAUAAUUCCGAUCUUUGGGUACGGCUAAUUGAAAGGUCGUUAUGCGCAACUCGCGCAGUUGUGCAUGGCUGGUGAUUAGGUAUUUCCUGUAGGAUGUAAAUCGGUAUGGAUCGUUGCAAUUGUCGAUUAUGAAUGCACUUGAUCAUCACUUAAGCAUCGUAGAGUAAUCAAAUUGAAUAUAAUGUUUUCCUUGAAUUAUUAAUAUUGUAUGAUGUUUAGUUCCACUUGAUUGAUCAAAAUGUUUUAUUCACCUAACCCGGUAAGAACUAAUUAGUUUUAAAAUAAUAAAACUAACGUUCCACAAGUAGUAAGUUUUUCACAAAAAUGUUGAGUCAGCCAGUACACUAAAAAGGCUAUCAUGCUCGUAAGCAAAGUGGACACAUGAAAAACAAAUGGGUGCACUGCUGACAUAGAGGUUUGAUUCAGGUCAAAGACAGUUUGCCAUUUCGUUCUGAAUGUGCACUCUUAGUUUAUGCAGAUCAUAUCUGGCAUCACUGACACUGGGAAUUGAAAAUCUAAUAUAGUUACACAUUUUAUCGAAUUAUUAGCAGAGAAGAUGCUAUGACUCAAAAGUCUUCAUCUAUUGGUUACCCAUUGGCGUAGCGUGGAAACAUAAUUGUUACUGAUGGGAACUAACUUCGCCUAUGGUGUGCCCCCCUUCUCCAUAAACUGCAUAGUAGUACGAUACUGUAAAGCUUAAUGAAACACAGGGUUGUCCUUAUUAGAAUAGGCUACAAAUUAACGGAGUAAUUGACAGACUAUUGCAAGUCACAUAUUGAUAGUUAUGCAUAUCUACAACUAUAGUUCAUAUCUUUGCAAGAAUCUAUAGUUCAUAUCUUUGCAAGAAUCUAUAGUUCAUAUCUUUGCAAGAAUGCUAAGGACCAUAAAAGUUUAGUAUAGAACAGUUUCUUACAGUUACAGAUGCUAGAACAUUUUGUGUCAUCCAAAUUUGCAGUACCAGGAAGGGGGAAUCCAUGAGUAGCCUCCAGGGGCAGUAAAAUGUGACUGAAAGGAAUGUUGUACAUGCUGAUCUAGCAGCGGCACAAACGUCCCCAAAGCAAUCGCUUUUGUUUGUAGCCGCGGCACAGCUCAUCCCUGCAAUCUGUCCUCGCCUGGCACCUGGCACCGCUCCUUGGUGAGUCACAAAUCCAUGGCAACUUGUAAUAGCAAGAACAUGGAUUCAUGAAGAAUCUUUGCUGCAAACAGAAAAUGGACGGAACAGACUUGAUAUUAGAUGUCCUUGCGCAUCAGUUGCUACAUUCUAAAACUGAAAAAACUAACUAUUCAGUGACCAGCUUACGUUGGACGCAUUUCCUCGAGCACCUUCUGGGCGUCGUCCAUAUCGACAGCCACUCCAGCUGCUGGGGCACUGGCCGGCGAGCUCUGCACCAUGGGAGGUCGCACGGGUGUGCGAGGGAGAUGCCCACGCUUGCAUGUCCCAUGUCUUCUUCGUCGCACCCACGUGGGCCUUUCGCAGCAGUCGCGGGAACACCGUGUUGGUUCCUCGGCGAGCGGUGGACAGCAGGUGUUGGGGAUGGUUGGAGACCGGAGGAAGGAGUAGGAGGCGGCUCUGACCCUCACCAUGCGCUAUCGGCACCUCGGGGCCGACUGUGUGCCACCGCCGUCGGCCCAGCCUCUCCACCUGCGCCCCGCAAAACCAACCAUCCAAUCCGUUGCCUCAGCCCAGCCCUCACUGUCACGCCAUCGUCGCCUCGCUCUUCUUCAACGCAGCAACGCCUUGAUCCCUCUAUGCAGUCGAUUGCGUGGGAGAAGACCCAAGAACCGUCCUCGGUUGUCAUCUGCGACAAGCUGGCCACCUAAAAGCGCCCACCCAUGUCGCUGUUCAGACCCCUCACGACGCGUUGCGUCGCCACACGGUAUGGCGUCGCCCGCAACCUCACCUACAAGGAAGAAGCCCAUACCGCAGCCCGGCGGUGACGCAAGCAACAGGGAAGGAGAGGCCCACGCGCGCACGGAAAGACCGGUCGCCCACGUCCAUGGCGACGGGGAAGCGACGCGACGGCGGCGGCGGGGGCGGGGUCCUUCCGGAGUAUGCCGCGACCGGUCCGGGGGCUCCUAACGGGGACCAUCGCGGGCCUGGCCGGUAGCGAUGAAAACGGACGGACAAAACCCGUUACCGCCCGUCCGUUUUCCCUCCAGGUAUACGAAAACGGUACGGUAAGAUCCGGUAACGGGAAAAUGGUACGGUAAGAUCCGGUAACGGGAUAGGAAAUGGAAUAGGGUAUCCGGGAACGGAACGGGAUAUGGUUGAGGGGUAUCCCGUCGGUAUUUGCGGGAUCCGUUUAAUCCAGAAUGAUCCCGUAUUCAUCCCGUUUCUAAUUUAAUGGAAUAAGCCUGGUACCUCAAUCCCCCGAACCCCAAUCGUCCAAUCUAGUCCAACACACCCAUCAAACAACCCUAAUCCCCUUCCCUUUAUCUGGUCCUGGCGUCUGGCAUCGGCAACUUCCCGUUCGGCCGUUCCCAAUUCAUCCCGCCGCCUCCACCUACCCCUGCCCCCUGGCCCCCUGCCACAUGCCGUCGGCCUGCCCCCUGCCGUCGCAUACCCGCACCGCCGCUACCGGCCCCUAGCCCUCUGCCGCCGCGUGCCGGCCUGCCCCCUACCGCCGCUCUGCCUCUGCACGACUGCGCCUCUAUCAGCUGCCACCACCCGGCCCCUGGCCCCCUGCCGUCGCCGGCCCGUGGCCCCCUGCCACCGCUCUGCUAGGCGCCAGCUGCUGCCGCCCGUCGCGUAUCUUGCUGCUGCUCACUAUUCCAUUGUAUUUCCAUCCACGUUUGUCCAUUUUCGUAUACCUAUUUAUCCCGCUCAUGACUGUCCCGCUCCCGCUCCCAUUUCCGGUGAAAAAAUAUGGGACGGGACAUGAUUAAGGUGUUUUCCCGUCCGUUCCCGUCUAUUUUCAUCGUUACUGGCCGACACACCUUCGCUCCAACCUUGGAGGAUUCUAACAAAAGUACCCACACUUACUUAAAAAUCAUCGUAAAACAAUGAUCAGUUUGACAAGGAUAACGUUGUUGAUGACUAUUACUUUCACGGGGAUGACUUUGCAUUCAAGGUACUCAAGAUACUUUUGGGAUUUGUAUACCGACGUAAAGUUAGAUUUGAGUUUUGUGCUGUAAAACAUGGUCGUUAGGCCGACUUUUGUAAAGUAUAACUAUCAUGUGUAAAGAAGACCGGUAUUGUACUAUCCUUUGUACGACUGAUUUCCUGGGUGGUUGACUAUUCGCCGAUCAGCUUUAGUAAAGGUUGAGCUGAUGUGGCCGAGUCAAAUGGAUCGGUCUAACCUCGGGCAAUGGCGUCCAACCAUAUAGGGAAAGUGGCUUAGGCUCGUGUUGACACUCGAGAAAUCCGUGGACGUAGAUAUUUACAUACACGCACACUCACCUAAUGAAUACGUAUACACAAUCCUACCAUGAGCACAUCCGAGAGAUUGAUCCGACAAAUCUUGAAAUUAACGAAGACACCUCACACACUUUGCUAUCGAUGGACACGUUACCUACCAAUAAAAGAAUAGUGCUAGUUAAAUUAUAGAAUAAAUAAAAAAAGACAAGCACACAUAUUGAGUCGAUAACUCGAACCCAUAUCAGCAGCUUAGAUUUCACCACAAGAAACCAGCUGCGUUCACUUGUUAUAGUUAUACUAUUAUGAGAUUAUCUAUAAUGCCAUAUAUUAUUAACAUGAACAAACUUAUAGCUAACAUGUUAGCUUUACGGAGACGCUGAAAAGUAAGAUGAAGCAGCACAUCUGGCGACCGUGGAGGAUAAAAGGCUUACGUUGGUCUAUAGCUAAGUCAAUAAAUAGAUGCUAACAAGUAUCGCGACGUUAACUCCAUCGAGUCAUUAUUCAUAUUUGCCUCUGCUAAAGCACGAGUUAAUCACGCGACUAUCCGCUAAAAGAAAAAGAAUUACAUUUCUCCUGUUCGUGAGGUACAUACACAUCUCCUAAUAAUACAGUAUUAAUAAGCUCUAGAGCAACCGUUGCUAUCAUGCAUGUAGACGCCCAUGGACAGUAGAUGGAGCAAAUCUUGCGCGCGAUCGAGCUAGUUACCUUAUCUGCGGCCCACAGAACGUCAACGUGUAAGGAAAGUAUAGCUACGCCAACGAACAAAGCUUGGAGAAGGACAGACAGCGAAUGGUCCAUGGUGUCAUGGUCCAGCUUGUCUGAAGAUUAGAUCUGAUGAGAUCAGAUCGUAUAUAGGUUCACCCCCAACUAAUCAAUGCAUGCAGUACCGUGGUCCAUGGAGACGGGAGAUAUUUGGCUUUUGUUGGCCUAUGCAAUGCAGCGAUGCAAGAAUUAUUGGAGACAGUUACAAAUUGUCCUCGCGCUGCAUGAUAUAUCCAGGUACUCUGCGAUGUACCGUGAUGUCCCAGCAUGCUUUGCUAGGUGCUUUCUGUUGAUCGAUCCAGAUGUUACUGGAACCAGCCAGGUAUGACAUCCAUAGCUAUUAAACCAUUUGGUGCAGGAGGCGAGGACCAAGCUGGCGGGUGAGAGCUAGCUGCUGUUGUAGUCUUCAUGAAUCAUGAUCGUGCCAGAAGUUGGAGCAUCGCCGUGUGACUUGUGUUUACAUUAUUGCUGCAGUAAACACCUCUUUGUUGCCGCCUCCCACCUCCACUGUUGUGAUUAUCGUUGCCCCUCUCCUACCCGACCGGCAUCUGACUCGAUCUUGCGGUUGGCAUUUGGCAACAUCGCCUCCACCUUGCCACCCUACUUGCCAAUGCCAUCAUCGCCGGCUGGCCUACCGCUGCGGGCAUCCAGGUGAAACCACAUAUAAUCAUAGGUGGACACUUUAGAAAAAAAGAGAAAUCCUAAAAAUUAUUUAAAAAAAGCAAAACAGCUGACCAUCAAUCGAUAGACUCAAAUCAUCAUAGCCAUUGGAUCUAUUAUGUUUUUUCUAAGAAAUUACCCACCUAUGUCAUUAUGAAAGUACCUUAAGGUAACCCCUAAAUUUAUAUCUAAAUUACCCACCUCUACCAUUAUAUAAAAUAAAUUAAAAUAACCUCUUAAUCUUCAUCAAAAUUACCCACUAUUCCGUUACAAAUAAUAUUUAAAAUAACCCCCUAAAUUUGCAACUAAAUUGACCACCACUAAUCCUUAAAAAAAUAACUUAAAUAACCUCUUAAAUUUUCAUCUAUAUUACCCACAUAUGCCAUUAUUAGAAAUGACAUGAGGAGGUAACCCUACAUUUGAAUCCAAAUCACCUUAAUUAAAAAUAUACACUAAUGCAUGAUUCUAAAUGUCUAUUAAUUUCUUACACUAUUGGUAUAUGAUAUAAUAACUAAGGUCUAUACAUAUGAUGUGUGUCACCAGUUAUAAAGAUAUAGAGGAAGUGAUGAAAAUAUAGAUUUCUAUGUUAAAAUUAUAGCUCAAACUUAGGGUUCAUUAAACAAAUUCAAAUGCAAAGUGAAAAAGUUAAAGAUUAUAAACGUGGAUGAACUAACUAAAAUCUAUCAUAAUUAGAUGAAGAUAAUAAGUAUGUGUCUACAAAAAUAUUGCGUUCGAAUAUUUAACAAAUGAGAGGUAGCUCAAGGUAAUAGUUUUGUAGCAAUGUGGUCUCAUUUUUUCCAUUGAAGACUCCGCAUUAGUUCUCAUGAGACACACUAGAAAAAACAAAUCCUAGAAAUUAUCAAAAAAAUUAGAAACAUCAAUCCUGUAAACUCUAAUAAUUAUAUUCAUUGUUAUAUUAUAUUUUCUAAAAGGUUACCCAAUACUAUCAUUAUGAAAAUACUCUAAAAUAAAACCUAAAGCUAUAUCUAAAUUACGGAGUUCUACCAUUAUUAAAAAUAAUUUAAAGUAACCCCACAAUUUUCAUCCAAUUUACUCAUGCAUAUCAUUAUAAAGCAUAACUUAAAAUGUCAUUCUAAAUUUGUUACCCAUGUAUGUCAUUAUUAAAAUAAUUUAAAGUAAACACAUAAAUCUUAAUCUAAUUAUCUUUAUGUGCAUCAUACAGAAAUAUCUAAAAGUAAAGUAAUAUAUGAUUAUGAUUCUAAAUUACCUAUUUAUACCAUUGUUAAUAUAGAAAUACUAAGUUAAGGUAUUGUUGAUGCCAGAUUUUGACACGUAUGGGAUCGGCGUCAAGAGAAGAAAGGAUUGGCUGAUGUGGUGGAUUAAAAGGUCAUGAUUGGGAAUCGGCCGAUUGGUGCUACAACUCAGAAUCAGCCGAUUGGCGCUGCAGUGUUUUGGCGGAUGGAGAUCGGCCGAUUGGAAGGCUGGAGCGAUUGGGCCAAUAUGGGCUUAAAGUGGAUCAGAGAAAGAAGAUAGAGAAAGAUUGGCCUGUGGGAGUACAAUAAUCAAUUCCGAUACGAGUUGUGCUUGUAAAUACUCAUUUUCGUUUAAAAUUAGAGAUAGAUCCUAGUCGGUUAGGAAAUUAGUUGUAACAGGCUAUAAAUAGCCAUCUUUAGAGAUUUGCAAAGAACACAUCAAUCAAUACAACAAUCUACUAUUUCAUCGUACUUUACUUUCAAGUCGGCGACUUCGCCAAUACUUUUCUUCUUUCACGAGUUCGUACGGGUUGGCAGGGCUGCAUCGACGCGAUCUCCGGCCGAUUCUGUAAGUUCCGUUUACCGAGUAAUAUCUAAGCUUUAACUUCAGGCGCAUCGCUGUCGUUUCGUUUAGAUUUAUUCAUAAGUUAUCGAUAUUUGCUAGAAUCAUAGGUUUUAUCUACUGUUCUAGUUUUAUCACCAGUUAUCCAGCUUGAGAUUUGAACUAUCGGCUCUUUUGUUGCUAUUUUCAUUCAUUAUUGUCGCGUAGCCGGUUAGAUCUAUUUCAAGUGUUGCUUUUGUAGCUUUAUCUGGUUUACUCUAGUAGUUUUCUUCGUAAUGGCUACGUGAUUGUCGGCUGUAUCAUAGCCGAUUAUCUUUAUAUAGCAAAUCGGUCGAUUCGCUGAUACGCUUUUCGAGAUCGGAACCUUAGCCGAUCGGAUGCCUUGGAAUUUGAAACGUUUUCUUCCUUGCUAAUCAACAGGUCAGAUUGGCUGGCACGCCGCGCGAACCGCACCAGGGCGAUUACCCGAACAGGAGCUAAGCAGAUUCUCCCGGGUCAUGUGUCCAACGCUGAAGGUCAAUCGGCUGACUUUUAGCGCCAACAGGUAUAUACACAUGAUAAUUGUCACCAUGUAGACCAUUUAUACAUGUAUGUGAGGAAGUGAUGAGAAAUAAUGAUUUUUAUGCUAAACACAAUGUAUGGAGGUGCGAUACAAAAUGGAAAAAGUGUGAAUAUGGAUGAAAAAUUGUAUAGAGUAAUUACUAAUUAAAAAUCAAUCACAACUAGAUAAAAAUAAGUACGCAACUAUAUGAGUAUUAUAUUGAAGUACUGAAAAAAUAAGAGAGUAGUAGGUAAACAAUAUUGAUUAUUAGCUAGUAGUUUAAUUUCUAAAUAAUUUUUAAAUAUAAUAGCUUUUAAAAAAAUAUUAGUUCGUGCGGGAGUAUGGGUUGAUGGACUAGUCCACUGAUCUGGGAAACAUAGGAGACAGUGAAGAAGUUGUCUAGGACACAUAUCAGCUUAGACGAUUAAGAAGUUGGUAGGACGCAGAGCAAUUUGUGACGUGCACAAGAUGGAAAAAUCUGAGUGUGGAAGCUCCAAAGAGGGUGUUAGCGUAUUUGUAGUAAUUAACAAGAAAUUAUGAACUGAAAGCGAAUGGCAUGCACCUUAAUAACAAAUAUGCUAUGAAGCGAAGGAAAAAAACAAAAUCUGAAUGUACUUAAAUCAGUGGGCCCUUGGUAUGAUUAAGUAUCAACCAGUUAUUCUUCAGUGAUGGUUAGUGCACGAAGAUGGGGAUAACGUACGUCCACAUUGUUGCUUGUAGCGAGUACAGUACUUGCUGCGCGGUUGAUAAGAUAUGGGCCACAUACAUACUCUGCUUCCCCUUGCGUGUUUAACUUCAACGAAAACUGGAUAUAAACAUUUUAAGAAAUAAAACAUCUUUUUUAAAACAGAAAAGAAAACAUCUAAUUUAUAUUGUACACAUGCAUCCGAUCUGGUUUUUCCUAACAAGCGUGUAGGGUCAACAACAUGGUUUUAUUUUAAUAAUCCACCUAUGACUUCAAGUGCUAUGGACCAGUUCACAAAUAUGUCACCAUAGACAUGACCUUUUCAGCCAACUAUCUAAGAAUUCCCCAUUUAAACCAGUAGAGGCAUGCUCUUUCCUUAUCUGUAUUGAUUUAGGACUUGACACCAGGAAAACAUGAUCAUGGGCACAGCAACCCCUGUUCACUGGCUUUACCCGAUUAAUAUAAGUUUUAAUGUGCUCCAGCUAUAUACAUAUAUCCAGAAGGGAAACUUUGGCGGGAACCAACUAUAAGAUGGAUAAAUUGACAGAACAAGAAGUCGGUGAUAACACAUAAGCCUUGAAUUGAAUGCUGAUAUGAUGGCGCGUGAGAUUAGCAGCAAAUUUCCAGUUGGCCUGGGAGCGUGAUCGUUUUGAAAUGAUGGCAGAAUGAUCCGGUGGUCCAGAAGGGUGUCCGCAAGAUCGCUGCAGGUUAAUCAACAUACGGAGUACACAACAUGACAUUUACUCAAAGAGACGUGCCCCAAAAAAUACAAAUAAAACACACUUUUGGACUAUUUUUCUUUUCUUUCCUAAACGUGUUACAAAUAUACACGUAUGCAGGCACAUCCCAUAUGAGUAUCUUCAUCGAACUGUCCCGGCGAAUCUUAAAAAAAAACAGAGAGAAAUCUCAUCUCACCCUAACCAAUUGAGCCUCGUUUCCAUCACCUUGAGAAUCGAGAUGCCUUGGCACAGCCGUUCAACCCCAUCGGACCGAUGGUGUAUAUAAGCGCCACGCCGAGACGCGGAGCAUGCCAGCAUGCAUCGAAUCCCGCCGAAUCGGGGAUUAGUGCCACGUCCAGGAGCAACACAUUGUUGACGGAAAAAAUCAGAAAGUGGUCCUAACUCUUGCGUCGGACACACGACUCGGAAGAAUCUGCUUAGCUCCUAUUCGGGUUAUUGCCCUGGUGCAGUUCACACGGCGUGCUAGUCAAUCUAACAUGUUGAUUGAUAGGGAAGAAAAGAUAUUAAAUUCCAGUGAUUCGAUCGGCUGAAGUUCUAAUCUAUUCCAAAAGAUGUAUUAGCGGAUUGGCCGAUUUAGUGUAAAGAUGACCGGCUAUGAAACAGCCGAUAAUCACGUGGCAAUUGUAAAAGAAACUACUGUUGUAAUCCUAAACAAUGUUACAGAGACAACACUUGGAACAGAUCUAAUCGGUUGUAUGAUGAUAAACAAGAUUUUGAUAUAGCUGACAGUUCGUGCCUCAAGCUAGAUAACUGGUGAUAAAAAUUAAAAUAACAGGUAAAACCUAUAAUUCUAGUAGGUAUCGAUAACUAUAACUAGUGAAUAAAUCUAAACAAAACAACAACGAUGCGCCCAAAGUUAAAGCUUAGAUAUUACUCGAUACGCGGAACUUACAAAUUGGCUGGAGGUCGUCUUAAUGCAGUCCUGCCAACUCGCACGAACUCGUGAAAAGAAAAGGAUUUGGCGAAGUCGCCGACUUUAAGUAAAGUUACGUGAAAGAGUAGAUUUGUAUUGAUAAUUGUUGGUUUAUUUUACAAGCCUUACGAGGCACCUAUUUAUACCCUGUUACAACUGAUUUCCUAACCGACUACGAUUUUAUCUCUAAUUCAAAAUAACAAACUUUUACAUAUGGACACAACUCGCAUCGGAGUCGAACACUAAUCAAUCUUCUAUAGGCCAACUCUGUCUUCAUCUUGUUACUGCCUUGGCCCAUUUAAGCCCAUGUUGGCCGAGCUGCUAUGGCUUCCGAUCAGCCAAUCUCCAUUGACUCCAUCGGCUAACCGGCCAAUUUCCCUAGCCACAGCCUCCUGUUUAACUGCGUCGGCCAUUUUCUUCUUUUCUUGACGCCGACCCUAACACGUGUCAAAAUCCGGCGUCAACACAUGCCCCCAAAUUUCGGAGUGAAACUUAUCUUUUGCUCCAAAAUUUUCUCAACUCAGAUUCCUUCCUCUGGAAGAGAAGUAACAAUAAAUGCGGCAAAAUCCUUUUUGCUCCCGAAAUCUUCUCCUUAAUGAUUGCACUUUUUCGAACAGAGCGCCUGCGGGCAACCGCUCUUUUCGAAAUUGGCGCAGAUGGCGCGGUAAAAAUUCUAUAUUUACCCCUCUCUCAAGCCAUCCCCCAUAUAUUCAUCUCUUUUGCCGCUUCUUCUAUCUCUGGGCGAAAAGGAUUUUCUUUCCGGCGAAUCGUCUCCCAAAGCACUCCAGCAUCCUUGCUCAUUCCACCCUUAGGCGCAUCCCAGUGACUUUCUCCUAUUCUUCAUCAAUCGUACCGGCUUCCAAGUCUCAAUGGCGACACCUACCGCCACCAUGGCCAUCGUCCCUAAGGUAAAUUUUCUGAGCCCUCUUUUUUUACCUUUUCACGAUUUCUAGAUCUGUUCUUAGUUUUUCUUCGCAUUUGCUCAGGAACUUAGGCAGAGAAUUACCAUCCCCAUGGCCGACACCCCUGGACUCAUCGGUCUUGGCCCUAUGGGAGAUCCUAACCCAACCGAUCUGAUCACCCUGGAAACUCAUAGGAUUCCUUUAAACAAUAAACUAUGGAUUUGGACAUUUGGACGAACACCUUCAAGUCUUGGCCGAAUCAAACUCCCGGCUGGAGAGAGUGGUUUUUUAGGAUGUCGAAUUCCAAGAGAGUCUUCUGGGAUGAGCGGAAAAUCGGCCACUGCAUAAAUCUGUCCCUAUCUCAUAUGGAAAGGAAUGACUCUCUGCUCAUCGCGGCAUCUUAUUUCUGGUCCGAUGCUCUCAAUGCGUUUCUUUUCGGCCACGGAUCAAUGACUCCAACUUUGGCCGAUGUUCUGAUGCUGACUGGCCUCGAUAUCUCCUCCGCCGAUACACCUUUCGAUCUUUUAAUCAAACCUAUCCACCGGUUGGAAACGAAAGCCAUCGGCGGAUAGAAAGGCUUCAUCGAGAAGAACAUGAAGACCGGACCCAUCACGAAAAAGGAACACAGAACCUUCUUGAUGAUGUGGUUAGAAAAACAUCUUUUCUAUGGAAAAUCGGCCGGUCCUACCUCCAAUACGCAAGCUGUUGGCAAAGCACUAGCAAGAGGCGCCGCUGUCCUUUGGGAAACACUUGGUAGGGUCAGUGUACUACAUGUUGCAUCAAGUCACAGUGAAGUUGUCACCUGGGGAACCCAUCGAGAACCCUGGUGGUCCCUGAUGGUUUGUCAACCUCUAGCUCAAUUUAUAUAUGAGCAAAAUCUUCAAAGAACGGAUCGAGACCAAGACCUUCCCCAAUGUAGAAUCAGAGACUGACCCAUCAGCAAGAUGUCGCUGCACCUCUUUCGGAGAAGCUGUAUCUUCCUUCCUAGGAAGCAAGCUUGCUCCCUCAAGAAUAGCUGAGCACUUCAGAUGCUUUUGCAACGGCUUCAAAGAAGAAGUAACAAACUGGUAUCCGUAUCAAAGAGAAGAUCCAACUUUUGAGAAUCCUGACUGCUUUGACUCGAAUACCAAUACUUUUGAUGAGGGAGUCAUGGAUAUCCUGAUUAAACCUGGAAUUCUGCCGGCAAACUUUUUUUCUGGGAAGGACUCCCCAACAUAUGAGUUCUACAACCCAUCGGUGGCAGCCAGACAAUUUGGCUUGGGGCAAAUGCCCAUCAGGGUCCACUUCAUCGGUCGAGUGAAAUUUCGAGAACCACUUUCAAGAAGAUUUGAAUACAACAAAUUAUGCAACCUGACACCAGACUCCAACACCAUUGAUCUGAGCACUUGGCUGGUAGUACCCUUCUCUACUCAGCAAUUCAAAUUAUGGUGGGCCUAGUAGAAAUAACACCUUUUCUGUGCAGCCCCUAUGGUGUAUUGCAAUCAGCUGGACCCCACUCACGCCGAUCCAUACGAAGAGGUAACAGUACUUUUUCUACCGGCUUUUACUUUCAUGCCGCAAAGUCCCCUUAUUUUUAUCCUUUUCCUCUGCGCAGGUUGAUAGCCAAACACCUCCAACGCACAGUUGGAGCGGUAGAUUGAUAGAGACCCAUCAUCCGUACACGCCGUACCCCGUCAUCGGCUACCACACCCCAUCAAUGGAAGACAUAGCCGCCGGCCGACUGAGGCAUAAGCUCAAAAUGUCCACCACAAAGAAAACAAGUCACAGGGUACGAGCUCGUACUAAAUCGGCAACAACUCGGACGACCGACCAAUCGGCAACAACAUCGGCCGAGCCCUCAGCCGCACCAAUCCAAGUAGAUGUCCUGCCAACAAUUUAGGACAUUGAUCCCCUGACGGCAUCAGAAGCAGGGUCGGUGGUUGCAUCUCUCCUUGUGGAGGUCAUACAGGUAAUCUUACUGCUAGAGCUUCUUCAUAUGUAUCACCAAUGCUAAAUUCAUCCCUUUUUAACAGGCCGCACAACUCGCUCCGGAGCAGACUGUUCCUCAAUCGGCCGAUCCCCGAGCUGAAACCAUGCCACCAACAAAUCUUCAGAUUGAGGUAAAGAACACGCUCUUCACUUAAUCUCCAUAAUUUUUCAACUAAAACCGGCUGAUUCUUGGCACAGGAUGCUCUAGACACAUCAGUUGUCCCAUUUGAGCGACCAUCGGCUGCGCGAUUUCUAGAGGUAGGAAAACUAAGACCCACAUUUAGAUCUAAUAUUCUUUUUAUACUUACAAAUGCUUCCAUUUCCCUUCUCCAGGAGGCUGGUCCAAGCACCUUACCGGCUAUUACCAGAGAGCCGAUUAUUGUUGAAUCUUCUCCUUCUGAUGAACUACCGCCGCCGAUUUCUGAGACGGGAGCAGCAAUCCCGCCAACCCAGGCAGAAGAGAUUCAUUUUAAAGAGGUAAGGGCCUUCUAUCUCCACUAGCCGAUUUCUUGCUUCUGUCGGCUAAAACGUUUUUUCCCCUUCCCUAUAGGAACAGGAUAUGCCAAACAACAGCCUCUUCUCUUUUGUAGUUGCGGUCUCCGAUAAUGAGGAAGUCGCAUCACGCCAGAUAACCUUGGACUCAAUACCAGAAGAGGUCCGCGCCAAGCUCCAAAACAUGCAAGCCCUUCCCCAGGAAAACGUUGGCCGAUUGGUGGAGGAUGCCGAACCGAUACGGCGAAUAUUCAACGAGAUCAAAGGCCAAGUCCCAGAAGACGCAAAAGAGGCUCUCGCACCCUCAGCAUACAUUGAAAUCAUGCAGGUUCCAGUGUUUAGAGCCUUGCGACACAUGGCCGAUCAUCCUAAACUGGAGAAGGCACGUCAAGAAGAAGAAUCUUACAAGCAUCGUGCGCAAGAGGUACAUCGGCAGAUUGGCAUCCACGAGACCUCCUGUCCGAGCAUCAUCAGUGCAAUAGACCGGCUCAAACGGCGCAGAGCAGAACUUGCCAAAGAAAUGGAACAGGUAAUAAAAGCUAUCGCCGCUGAAGAAAAGAAGCGUCAAGACCUCCCGACCGUCAUUGCUGAUUUGAAACAAGAAAGGCAGACCCUCGCUAAUGAGGCCAUCCAUCUCCAUUGUAACAUGCCAUAAAUCCCAGGGUCGGCCGAUGACGAUCGGCGAGUGUUGGAUGCGGCCGACCAGGUUCGCCUGCGAGCAAUCGAGGCCAUAAACAACCUCCUUGGAUAGUUGUACUGAACUUAAACGGCCUUUGAAUAUGUUGUAUAACAUUGACACUUUUGACAUUUCUAUCUUGAAUGCGAAUCUGAACAGCUUUCUUCGCAGCCUUUUGACUCAACGGUCACUUGCUUUAAAUGCCCUCCUUUUACCAACCGUUGCCUGUCGUCAUCUUGUUCUAUAAAUACGAGUUCUUCGCAUCCCCUCCAAAGGCAUUCGCAUAGCACCCAUUAGACUCGCCCCCUCUAGACACUUCCAAGUCUUUGAUUAGGCAACCCAAAUGGCUUCCUUCUCUUUCGUUAAUCAGGUAUGAGGUUAACUCUUUCCCUCUUCGACUGAUUUUUCUAUCAAUUGAUCAUCUAUUAUCCUCACAGCCAAACCAGCUUAAUCCCGGUCUUGAACGAGCCAUUGAGAUCAUGCACUCCGACGAACUGCUUGUCGGUGUUUUAGACCGGCAACCCGCGUAGGGGGUACCCUAGGUGGUCUUUUAUGCUGUAAGGAUCGUCAAGAAUCAAGGAAUCAAUGGUAACGCAGGGAGCACGAUUUAGACAGGUUGGGGCCGCUAGAUCGCGUAAUACCCUACGUCCUGUGUGUUGGUUUGUAUUUGGUGAACUCGAGUUGUUGAGGGGGGUCCCUGCCCGCCCUUAUAUACAUGGGAGGGCAGGGUUACAAGUCUUGAGUCCUAGUCAGGUACUAUUACAGAGUUCUACUCGGUAAGGCCCGAGUAGUUUUCCAUAAAACAUACUUGACUAGUCCGAGUAGGAUACGCCUAUCCCUUGUUUUGAUUGUAUCCGAGUACGCCCCUGAGUGGGCCGUCCAAGGUCUACUCGUGGGCCUUGGGUGCAUGCCCGACAAGCCCCCGAGUACUUUGUAGUCAUGCGCCAGUCUUGGGUACUGCGGGCCCAAUCCGAGUAGCUAGUCGUAGAGUUUGUAGACCGAAGUGCUCGAGUACUAUCGCGUGGCUGGAAGGUACUCUUUUUGUUCCUUCGAGUUGCUUCUUGUUCCGAGAUUUUAUAUGGUAGUGCGAUGUCAAUCACACUCCAUAUGGAGUAGCCCUCGAGCCUUAGGUUGAGUCGAAGAGUCAGGCUUAGGGUCAAACCAGUCUUUUGUUUGUUUUACCCUCGACAGUCUUUAAAAAAGAAAAAACCGACCAACGGGUACGGUACCCGCAGCCCCCGAGCAGUUAGGCGAUCUCUAUCGUUGAAGUGGUCAGCAGUCCGUUGAAAAGAGUAGCCGUUGAGUGUUUAAGGCGAUUAAUCUGCAAUUAAUCUAUCCGUUGCGUAACCGACGCGUGGAAAACGGAGCUGGCGGAGAUAAAACUGGAGGGCCCCUUUCAGUUGUUUUUACGCCGCACGGUAAUCAGAUCUGAUUAUCUGCCUCCUCCGUCCUCCUGCUCCACAUUUGCACCACCGCCAGUGCCGCCGCCGCUAUUGCCGCCCUUUGAGAGAGAUCCGAGUGAGAGUGUCGUUCUAGCUUGAGGUUGAGUCCGUCGAAUGCGCACCAAGAAGAUGGGCAAGAAACCCGAGAAGAUCCAGGGCAAGGCUCCGGCGACGGGCAAGGCGAAAUCCAAGAAGGGGAAGGAGCUGGUGUUGCCGGCGCCGAAGGUGGGGCCGACGAACCAGACUGCGCCGCCGCCGCCGCCUGGGGCAACAUGGCAACAUUCGGUGAUGAAGGAGGAAGCCGUCCAAGCACUAGUCGAUGCAAAGCUCCUGCAGUCGAAGGAGAUUCUUGAGUGGCGUCCCGCAUUUCCAAAUGCGUGGCAAUUUGAGGAACAGCUAGGCGAGACAGUGAUGCUCGCACACUUUGUGGAGAGGGGGUUGGUGGUGCCCACCUCCGACUUCUUCAGAGGUAUCCUCGAGUACUACAAACUCCAACUUGUCCAUUUGAAGCCCAAUGGUGUACUGCAUAUGUCUAUUUUCGUACACCUUUGCGAAGUUUAUUUGGGAGUUCCUCUAAGCCUCAAGUUGUUUAGGAAGUUGUUUCGUUGUAAGCCUCAGCCGAGUGCCCAAAGGACAUAAGUCUUUGGGGGCGCCGGGUUCCAACUCAGGAACUCGGGCACAUACAUUGAGUACAACUUGACUGACUCCCAUGGUGAGUGGAAGAAGAGGUGGUUCUACAUUGGGAACCAUGAUCCUCGCUUGCCUGUGGUGACUGGUCACGCACCCAAGCACGCGGAAAAUUGGGUGAGUGAACCCGAGGACACCCCUGAGCUCGAUCUCCUAAUGCAGUAGAUCACUGAGUUGAAGGUACUCGGUCUGACUGGAAUCAAUGUGGCGGCCAGCUUCCUGAAGAGAAGGGUCCAGCCAUUUCAACAACGUGCUCACUCGGGAAGUGAGUAUGUAGGUCUUAAGGAUCCAUCGCGUAUGUCCGAUGAGGAUAUAUCCGAUGAUGACGUAGAGGCGUUGCUGGCCAAGUUCAUCAGGAACUAUCAGGGAGUACCAGUAAUCCCUGCGGCGCUUCAUCAGUAUAAUGCCUGGUAUGAGCUAGAAGUGGUAUGUCUUUUGCACCUGACUUGUUCUUUUUUGUCUUAUGUGAUAUUUGUUGUUAAUACCAACUUGUUGUUUGUAGUCUCGAGUUCUUGCCGGCUACUUGGCGCAAUCGGAAGAAGAAUCAGAUACUGUUGCUGAGGAGUCAGAGGAUGAACCCUCUCCUGCCAAGAAGCGCAGAGUAGUCCGCAAGAUGUCUGCGGCUAAGUCUGCUUCAACUCCUCAGAAGCCUCAGGGUACCAAGGUAUGUAGUCGUGAGCUUAUCUGUAGCCGAUAAAUUUGAACUUGCUAUUGUUAUGACUAAUUCAUCUUUGUCAUAAAGGCUGUUGACACGGCACUUGGUGGUAAUGAGGCUACUUCUGAAGAAGUAGUAGUAACCGAUUCGGACGUCGGUGAUGUAUCUGUUGAUAUGGUGCCAGAGAAGGUGCCAUCAACAGAAGUUGGAGUAACCCCUAAGCUACCGGCUCCAUCAGCUUCCAUACUACCCGUUGAUGAUUAAGCGGUGAUGGGGCUGCCUGCCGGAGGAGCGGGCGUUGCAAAGGAGGUGUCGUCGGUACUCGCUACUGGUAGUUUGUUGUCCAAUGUGAUCGCCAGUGGUAAGCAUUGUCCCUUCUAAAUGUAUUCAUUUGAGUUGUAUUGUAGUCAUGACUUCGGGUUCAUAGGCCUUGGCGAGAAGACAGCGCCGGCAGCUGUUCCCGCGGCGCCCAGUACUCGGCCGCCAGUCGCUGAGAAGAAACGUGUGCGGUUGCCACCACGUUCAACCCGGUGAGCUUUCUUGUCUGUUGGAAUGACUUUGAGUUAUCUUGAAAUCAUGUAAUGACGUAUUUUGGUGCAAAGAUGCAGAGGAAACUAUCCCUGUAGAAACAGGGGUAGAGCCGUAUCCCUCGGCUACAUUAUCUGCUCCUUUGGAGGAUUUAAUUGUUGAGGAGGUACCCAAAGUCGACGCCGGUCAUCUUGGGGCUACCAUGUCCAUGCUUCAAGAUGUUAUCCAUUCGGUGGAAGUACCUGCUGCUGCAUCGGGUUCUGAAGUGCCGCCUUACCAACAUCCACUAGCGGUUCGCUAACCAUAGUGGGUGUUGAAAAAACCAAAGAAGCGACUGCUCCAGGUAUGUUUCUGUAGUCUUUUUAUUGUAGUCAUAGCAGGUAGCUGACAUGAUAAAUGUUGUAGGUGCCACUCUGGGUACGAUUCCUCAUCUUGCGGAGAGUACCCAAAGACUCGUACUUAGCCUGCCCUCUGACUUGUAAUUUCAGAGGGUCAUCGAUGUUUUCCGGGGCUUCCAGGUAGAUUUCCUUGUUGUCGCAUGAACUGAGUAGUUGUGAAGCUUUUAACUCACCAUUUCAUACUCGGACCUUUUCAGGAACGAAGUCAUCAACUGGAGCAGGAAUGUGCCCGACUAACAGAAGCUCUGAGGGUUCACGAAGUCGGAGCGAAGUCUUUUGUCGUGGAACGUACGGAUCACGCGGUUCUGCAGCAAAAACUAGAGAGCCGCUACAAGUCGCUGAACAAGAAGUAUCAAGGUAAGUAUUUCGCCUACUCUAAGUAUGUCCAACUGUAGUCGGUUGUGGUUGAGCUUAUUGUCUUGUAGAGCUCAAAAAGCAAGAAGCGGCUGCAAGGAGCCAAGUUCUCGAUUGGAGAAAUGCGCAUGAUCGAGUGGCGGAUGAAGCUGAACAUCUUCGGGCCACGCUGACGGAGGCACAGGCUGCUUGCGAACAUCAGCGGGACCGAAAAAUGCAAAAUGGUGUUAUGCUUGCCAUGGCCAUGGUGGCAUGCAGAGAUCAUGCCCAGACCAUGGGAAGACUUCGGGGCGAACUCUAGGAGCUAACUGUAGCAGCUGAAGACUUGGUGAACGCCAUAGCCCCCGUGGAAGAAGGCGCAGGGCCGCAAUCACUAGUAGAGCAAUUGAAGGCUGCCCCAAGUAGAGUGGCGGGACUCUGCAAAACUAUUUGCAAACAGGUCCUUGCAAUUGUGAAGUCCUACUAUCCGAGGGCAGACUUGGCGGCAUCUGGUGAUGGCGUGGCUCGCAACUGCAUAGAAGAAGCAUAUGCGCAGUACCUCGAGGAGGCGGAGCCUAUUGCAGCGAAGAUGUCGGAGUUUGUCUCGUUAGAAGAACCUUGAGCUUUGUAUGUACUAUUGUAUUUGUGUCAAGUACUUUGAACGAUACUUUUGAUAAAUGAAUACUUGGCCAUUGGUCUUGUUGCUUGAAGUUUGUUGCCUAGCGAAGAGUAGCUUCACUCUAUCUUGUCCGACCCAAAGCCCCGGAGUCGGCUGGGCCUGACCCUCUAGGGGAGGAGCUCCGCCUCGCCCGACCCUGAGUCCUGGGGUCGGCUAAGCCUGACCCCUUCGAGGGUGGAAACUUCGCUUCGCCUGACCCUGAAUCCUGGGGUCGGCUAAGCCUGACCCCUUCGAGCAGAGGAUCGGGGUAAUCCAAGCCCCCCGAGAUAAUGGAGUGAGCGUAGGCCACGCUUGGCUUUUAGUAGUCCCGAGUGUUGAGUAGUCGUAAUGCUAUCGAGUACUCGUCUUUUGAGGGACACGGGUGUACUGUACUCCUUUGUCCUUUUUGGAUGCACAGGAGUACUGUAUUCUUUUGUCCUUUGUGGCAUAAGUACCGUCAUGUGGGCAGAGUCAGGAGUUGUCAGACUCAUUGAUCAUGAGUGCAUAGUAACUCUAGGGUAGGUGGUAGUUGCAGCUUUCGACUAUGAAUAGAGCCAUCUGGAGAGCGAAUCAAAUCAAGUUCCUGAUCAGCGAUGGAUUGCCUUAGGUUGCUUCUAUUUGAGUGUAGAGAGCCGUCAAAGAGUGCACCGGUGCUAGAAGAUUCCUCUUAGAUUGAGGCCACCUUCCCUCCACAGACUCCUGCGCUCGUAGGGAUAGCCAUGAUGCUAGAAGAAUCCUCGUAGGAGGCUUCGUCGCACGCCUCAUCUUGCAGCUCGUGAUCCAGUGGAGUACGCGCUGGAACUCGCGGGUGAUGGGUGAUGAGUGCCGUGGUCUUUAUCCCGCUCUCUGAGAGGUGGAGGUGUGGCCGUAGAUUGGAUUCGUGUUGGAGAUAUGCCCUAGAGGCAAUCAUAGAGAUGAUGAUAUUCCAUUUGUAUCCAUGAUUUGUAUAUUGUGUUCAUUGAAUAUCCAUUAAAGGCUACUUGAAUUGAUUUGCAAUUAUGUGAAUUGUAUGUGAAACUCUUUACUUGUAUGGUUAUUCUAAAGUUGUCCCUAGUCGGAGUUCAUGUGAGGACACACAUGAAUAUUAGACUAGCACAUGUAUUAGUUGAUGACUAUGUUUCACAAGUCAUGGACAUGGAGAUGUUAAACUAAUAAUGUGGACACAUGUGGAGACAUGUGCUAGGACUGACCCAACACGAGAAGUAGUUCUCUCUUUAAACAACAUAUACGCUUUGUCCUUAGACCUGAGAUUGUCGCAUGUAUUCUAGAUGUGGAUCGACCUACUUAGGGGCUAUCAAACGCUACGCCGUCACAGGGUAGUUAUAAAGGUAGCUUUCGGGUUUGUCAAGAAGCAUGCUAUGAGACAUGGUCAAUCAAGAUGGGAUUUUCCCCUCUCUGAUUGAGAGUGAUAUCUCUGGGCCCCUCGAGUGAUCGGAUCCGAAGAUGCAUGGUCAUGCUACGUACGGUUAAGAGUUAACCUACAAAGGGAUUCCGAAUCACAGGAUCGAGAAAGAGCGGUCGGCUUGAAGCUAGACCAAAUAUCGUGAGGCAAAGGGAAUAGCAUGUAUAUUAUGUUGUGAUGGUUCGUCUGAUAUGAUCUUCGUGUGCGUAUAGGAGUUGGCACGUCUUGCUAGAGGCCGCUACCGACUAUUGGGCCGAGUAGGAGUACUCGGGCCAUGUCUAUACGUAUCCGAACCCAUAGGGUCACACACUUAAGGGGUUGGAAGCCCAAUUCGGAUCUGAUCCGAGUUGGAUUAGGUUUAGAAGUACUAAUGGGCCUCGGACCCAGAGGCCCGUUAGGAACCUCUAUAAAUAGAGGGGUGGGGGCGCCCUAGGGUUCACACCUUUUUGGCGAAACACACCUGCCGCGCCUCCCACGCCCUCGCCUGUUGCAACUCACGGAUCUAGCAGUCCGGCCUGCGACGCUUCCUCCCUGCACGUGUGGAUACCUUGGAGGUGUUGCGCCUGCAGCACUUGGAUGAGCCGCCGACGAGCCGUUGACGAGCCACGACGAGCCGCGGCACCGGGGGCGAUCUUGUUGCACGUGGACGAGCUGCUGAGGAGCUGCUGGACGUUGACGUGAUCGACUACGUACGACUACGUGAUCGUCUUCACUGCAUCGACGCAUAUCUAAAUCUUCCGCACCAGUAGUGCGUCGAGUGGUAAUCCCGUGAUCCUUAUAUGGCAGUUCUUCCUGGUUUUACGCGGUAGAAAAUUUUGAUUUACGCUAGUGUAGCCUACCUCGUAUCCCAACAGUGGUAUCAGAGCCGUAGCUGCUUAGUUUUGGAUUCGGGAUGUGUGCAUAUGGAGAUAUGCGAGUUUUCCGUUUGAUCUAUGUCCUGUUUUCGUGCCCUUGCUGCAAUGGUAGUGUAACGUCAUACUCCUACCGGUCGGUUUCCGCCAUCGGAGUUAAGUGAUACACGUAAAUCCAGUUGCAGUGAGCGAAGAUCAAUAUGAUUGGUCGAAUCAAAAUCCAGGGUCAUACGCCAGGCGCAUUAGAUCUGCAAUAGUAGAUAAGAUCUACUGCCGGGGUCGGGAUUUUUUCCGUAUGCGUAUGCUUCGGUAAAUCAGCCGUAACUUUUCGGUACGAUCUCGGAUCAGGGCGAAUUUUAUAUGAAAAUUGAUCUACAGAAAAAGUUACACAUGAAAUUCAAUAGUGUUUCUGUUUUCGGCGAAAUUAGAUUUCCCAAAUUCGGCUUGGAAGAUGGAGUUUCGGGCAUCCGAAGUUUGGAACGUUAGGACGCCUAACUCUGUUUUGCAGGAUGUAUGUUUGUAUCUUGUGAUCAGUAUGGCCCCCUUGUGUAUGUGAUGCAUGUGUGUAACUCAUUCGUGACCUGCGUGUCGCGCGUACGGCAACACGGCAGGAGCCAUAUGUGUUGUCACUUUAUUGUAUUUAAUGGUCUGCGUACCAAUCUGUGAUGAUCCAAGCAACUAUGUAAUCUUCAUUACUAGCUUCUUUACUAGCUAUUAGGCGUAAUAGCAUGUUCUAGUUCUUGGAGGACUCAUCACCAGGAGGAUGGCGCACAUGGAACAUGGAGAUGGAGAUCACCAUGGUGAACAGCUUCUAUGGAGAUGGAGAUCACCAUAAGAAAAACGGGCCAUACUGUGUCACAACUGUGUGAAUGCUAUUCUGUUUAUGUUUUACUUUCUGCAUGCUGUGAUGUUAGAAGUAGAACGAUCCCUCACAAAGUUUAAGUUAGUAUGCCCUCCCAACUAAAACUUGCACCGUCCCAUGUCUUGUACAAUUAGUGGUGGGUCUAUGAAAUUAGGGUGCCACUAGUUUUCCUUGACUAGACGGGUUUGUGUCGGACACUUACACGCAUAAGGGUUGGUUUGCUUAACAAAGUUAUCUUAACGGUUAAGGACCUUGGGGCAUAAAGGUUGGGCGCCGAGGCAUAGAGAUGUUACCCAACAACAGGAGUCAUAUGUGAUAUGAUUAGCAAAAGUUGCUUACCGAUCUACCUUGUUUGCUAGCGGUGAUGCUAAAGCUCACUAGUGGCCUUGUUAGUUGUGGAUCCUGAAUCACUAAGUUUCAAUAGAGGGAUAUUGAUUUUAGUGGGAGUAGAUUCUGUUAAAAUAGUUUAAUGUGAUUUGCUCUAUCAUGGAUACGUUUGUCUUAGUGUAUUUUGCAUUACUUUGUUGUAGAUUAAAUGGCACCUAGCAGCACUACACCGUUUGCUUUGCGUUCGGUCCUUGAGAAGGACAAGUUGAAUGGAACAAAUUACUCAGAUUGGAUCCGUAACCUGAGAAUUGUUCUCAGGGCUGAGAAAAAGGAAGAUGUUCUAGACAACCCACUACCAGAAGAACCUGCUGAUGAUGCAUCCGCUGCUGCUAAGAAUGCUUAUAAGAAAGCAUGUGAUGCUAACCUCGAAGUAAGCUGCCUUAUGCUUGCUUGCAUGGAACCCGAGCUGCAGAUGCAGUUCGAAACAAACCAUGAGGCGCACGAUAUGAUCGUGGCGCUUAGAGACAUGUUCCAAACACAGGCCAGGACUGAAAGGUUCAAUGUGUCUAAGGCCUUUGUUGAGAGCAAGCUAGCAGAAGCCACAGCAGUAGGACCACACGUAAUCAAGAUGGUUGGUUACACUCAAUGGUUGGAGAAGCUGGGCUUCCCACUGGGCCAAGAGUUGGCCACUGAUAUCAUUCUUUCGUCUCUUCCGCCUAGCUAUGGGAACUUCAUCUCGAACUACCAUAUGCAUGGGACGGAGAAGGGUUUGAAUGAGCUGUGUGGCAUGCUUAAAACAGCAGAGGCUGACAUCAAGAAAAGCGCUAGUACCAGCCAUGUGAUGGCUAUACAGAACAAGCCUAGCUUUAAGAAGAAGGGCAAUUCUUGGAAGAAGAAGGGCAAGGCUGAAACGUCCAAGCCAAACCCACCACCCAAGGUUAAAGCUGGACCUGGACCUGCUCCAGACAAAGAGUGCUUUUACUUUCAUGAACUUGGUCACUGGAAGAGAAACUGCAAGCAGUACCUAGCUUCCUUGAAGAAUGGUGGAAGUAAGAGUACUUCUACCUCAGGUACGCUUGUUGUUAAUGUUAUAGACAACAUUUUUCUCGCUGAUACAAUUAUUAAUUCUUGGGUAUUUGAUACCGGAUCGGUUGCUCAUAUUUGCAAUUCGAUGCAGGGAAUGAUAAGAAGUAGAAGCGUGGAAAGAGGAGAAGUUGAUUUCCGCGUGGGCAAUAAUGCAAGAGUUGCUGCGUUGACCGUCGGGACGAUGCAACUCCACCUCCCGUCAGGAUUUAUUAUGGAGUUGAAUAAUUGUUAUUUCGUUCCUAGUUUAAGUCGAAACAUUUUGUCUCCUUCAUGCUUGAUGAAGGAUGGUUAUUCAUUUGCGAGUGAAAACAAUGGUUGUGUGAUCUCUAAGAAUAAUAUGUUUAUGGCUUUUGCACCCAUUGUGAAUGGAUUAUUUGUUUUAAAUCUUGAUGGUUCACCUGUCUGUAACGUAAGUGCUAAAAGGCCUCGGCCUAAUGAUUUGAGUUCUACCUACUUGUGGCAUUGUUGUUUGGGUCAUAUAAGUGAAAAGCGCAUGAAGAAGCUCCAUUCUGAUGGACUUCUAACUUCGUUUGAUUUUGAAUCAUACGAGACAUGUGAGGCUUGCUUGCUAGGCAAGAUGACCAAGACGCCUUUCACAGGAUUUCCUGAGAGAGCACUAGACUUGUUGGAACUCGUACAUAGUGAUGUAUGCGGACCAAUGAGCACGACGGCUAGAGGAGGAUUCCAAUACUUCAUAACUUUCACUGAUGAUUUUAGUAGAUAUGGCUAUGUCUACUUGAUGAGGCACAAGUCUGAAACCUUUGAAAAGUUCAAGGAAUUUCAUAAUGAAGUUGAAAAUCAGCGUGGCAAGAAAAUUAAGGCCUUACGAUCUGAUCGUGGAGGCAAGUAUUUGAGCCACGAGUUUAGCAAUCAUCUAAAGAGUUGCGGAAUUGUUCCACAACUUACGCCGCCUGGAACACCUCAGAGAAACGGUGUGUCCGAGCGACGUAAUCGAACUUUGUUAGACAUGGUUUGAUCAAUGAUGAGCCAGUCGGACCUACCGUUGUCAUUUUGGGGAUACGCUCUAGAAACAGCAGCUUUCACACUUAAUAGGGUACCAUCUAAAUCCGUAGUUAAGACACCAUAUGAGAUAUGGACUGGAAAGGUUCCUAGUUUGUCUUUUCUAAAGAUUUGGGGAUGUGAAGUCUUCGUCAAGCGACUUCAGUCGGACAAGAUCACACCCAAGUCGGAUAAGUGCAUUUUCGUGGGAUAUCCAAAGGAAACUUUGGGAUAUUAUUUCUACAACCGAUCAGAAGGCAAAGUGUUUGUCGCUCGGAACGGGGUUUUCCUAGAGAAAGAGUUUCUCAAAGGAGAAAAGAGUGGAAAGACAGUGCAUCUUGAAGAAGUUCAGGAUGAGCCGAUCGGGCAAGAAUCAAUGAGUGAUGCUAACGUAGCAGAACAAGUUGAGAUACCCAUGGCAAGAGAGGCACCGCCACAACCACGAAGGUCAGCAAGGCUCCGCGAAAUGCGGGAAAUAUUAUUGUUGGACAAUGAUGAGCCUGCGACCUAUGCAGAAGCAAUGAUGGACCCAGACUCCGAAAAAUGGCAGAGUGCCAUGCAAUCCGAAAUAGAGUCCAUGGGAGACAAUCAAGUUUGGAACUUGGUUGACCCGCCUGAUGGUGUUAAAGCCAUAGAGUGCAAGUGGAUCUAUAAGAAGAAAAAGGACACGGAUGGAAAUGUUCACAUCUAUAAAGCACGACUUGUUGCAAAAGGUUUUCGACAAGUUCAAGGAGUUGACUACGACGAGACCUUCUCGCCCGUAGUGAUGCUUAAGUCCAUUCGGAUUAUUCUAACUAUAGCUGCAUAUUUCGAUUAUGAGAUAUGGCAGAUGGAUGUCAAGACAGCUUUCCUGAAUGGAAACCUAGCUGAGGACGUGUAUAUGAUACAGCCCGAGGGUUUUGUCGAUCCAAAAAAUGCUGGAAAGGUAUGCAAGCUUCAGAGAUCCAUUUAUGGAUUGAAGCAAGCAUCUAGGAGUUGGAACAUUCGUUUUGAUGAAGUAGUCAAAGGGUUUGACUUCACCAAGAACGAAGAAGAGUCUUGUGUUUACAAGAAGGUUAGUGGGAGCUCUGUAGUAUUUCUAAUCUUAUAUGUGGAUGACAUAUUACUGAUUGGAAAUAACAUUCCUAUGCUUGAGUCCGUAAAGACUUCACUGAAAAAUAGUUUUUCGAUGAAGGACUUAGGGGAAGCGGCAUAUAUUCUGGGUAUUAAGAUCUAUAGAGAUAGAUCGAGAAGGCUUAUAGGUUUAAGCCAAGAUACUUCCAUUGACAAAGUGUUGAAGCGGUUCAGCAUGGAAGAGGCAAAGAAAGGGUUCUUGCCUAUGUCACAUGGCAUACAUCUCAGCAAGACUCAGUGUCUUUCGACUGCUGAUGAGUGGGAUCGCAUGAGUAGAGUGCCAUAUGCCUCGGCUAUUGGAUCUAUCAUGUAUGCAAUGAUAAGUACUCGCCCAGAUGUUUCAUAUGCGCUAAGUAUGACAAGCAGACACCAAUCUGAUCCAGGUGAGAGUCACUGGACAGCGGUGAAAAACAUUCUUAAGUACUUGAGAAGGACUAAAGAUAUGUUCCUCGUCUAUGGAGGUGAGGAGGAGCUCGUUGUAACAGGUUACACCGAUGCUAGUUUCCAAACCGACAGAGAUGAUUCAAAGUCACAAUCAAGAUUUGUGUUCACGCUGAAUGGUGGUGCUGUUAGUUGGAAGAGUUCCAAGCAGGAGACGGUGGCCGAUUCUACGACAGAAGCCGAGUACAUCACGGCUUCGGAAGCCGCAAAGGAAGGUGUUUGGAUAAGGAAUUUCCUCAUUGAGCUUGGUGUGUUCCCGAAUGCGUCCAGCCUAUUGAAUCUCUACUGUGAUAACAAUGGGGCAAUUGCGCAAGCAAAGGAGCCAAAGAACCACCAGAAGAACAAACACGUAAUGCGGCAAUUUCAUCUCAUUCGAGACUUCGUUAACCGGGGUGAGAUCAAGAUAUGCAAAAUACACACGGAUCUGAACAUUUCUGAUCCGUUGACAAAACCACUCCCGCAGGCUAAGCAUGAUGCGCAUGUAAGAGCUAUGGGUAUUAGGUACCUCCUAGAUUAACUCUAGUGCAAGUGGGAGACUGUUGGAGGUAUGCCCUAGAGGCAAUCAUAGAGAUGAUGAUAUUCCAUUUGUAUCCAUGAUUUGUAUAUUGUGUUCAUUGAAUAUCCAUUAAAGGCUACUUGAAUUGAUUUGCAAUUAUGUGAAUUGUAUGUGAAACUCUUUACUUGUAUGGUUAUUCUAAAUUUGUCCCUAGUCGGAGUUCAUGUGAGGACACACAUGAAUAUUAGACUAGCACAUGUAUUAGUUGAUGACUAUGUUUCACAAGUCAUGGACAUGGAGAUGUUAAACUAAUAAUGUGGACACAUGUGGAGACAUGUGCUAGGACUGACCCAACACGAGAAGUAGUUCUCUCUUUAAACAACAUAUACGCUUUGUCCUUAGACCUGAGAUUGUCGCAUAUAUUAUAGAUGUGGAUCGACCUACUUAGGGGCUAUCAAACGCUACGCCGUAACAGGGUAGUUAUAAAGGUAGCUUUCGGGUUUGUCAAGAAGCAUGCUAUGAGACAUGGUCAAUCAAGAUGGGAUUUGCCCCUCUCUGAUUGAGAGUGAUAUCUCUGGGCCCCUCGAGUGAUCGGAUCCGAAGAUGCAUGGCCAUGCUACGUACGGUUAAGAGUUAACCUACAAAGGGAUUCCGAAUCACAGGAUCGAGAAAGAGCGGUCGGCUUGAAGCUAGACCAAAUAUCGUGAGGCAAAGGGAAUAGCAUGUAUAUUAUGUUGUGAUGGUUCGUCUGAUAUGAUCUUCGUGUGCGUAUAGGAGGUCGCACGUCUUGCUAGAGGCCGCUACCGACUAUUGGGCCGAGUAGGAGUACUCGGGCCAUGUCUAUACGUAUCCGAACCCAUAGGGUCACACACUUAAGGGGUUGGAAGCCCAAUUCGGAUCUGAUCCGAGUUGGAUUAGGUUUAGAAGUACUAAUGGGCCUUGGACCCAGAGGCCCGUUAGGAACCUCUACAAAUAGAGGGGUGGGGGCGCCCUAGGGUUCACACCUUUUUGGCGAAACACACCUGCCGCGCCUCCCACGCCCUCGCCUGUUGCAACUCGCGGAUCUAGCAGUCUGGCUUGCGACGCUUCCUCCCUGCACGUGUGGAUACCUUGGAGGUGUUGCGCCUGCGGCACUUGGACGAGCCGCCGACGAGCCGCUGACGAGCCACGACGAGCCGACGACGAGCCGCAGCACCGGGGGCAAUCUUGUUGCACGUGGACGAGCUGCUGAGGAGCUGCUAGACGUUGACGUGAUCGACUACGUACGACUACGUUGAUCGACUAUGUACGACUACGUGAUCGUCUUCACUGCAUCGACGCAUAUCUACAUCUUCCGCACCAGUAGGGCGUCGAGUGGUAAUCCUGUGAUCCUUAUACGGCAGUUCUUCCUGGUUUUAUGCGGUAGAAAAUUUUGAUUUACGCUAGUGUAGCCUACCUCGUAUCCCAACAAUUGGCUCCACAAGGCUAGCAAAAGAGCAGCCUUGGUUCCCUCUAGGCGCGUCGUGCCGGAUUCAUCGUUGCCGAUGUCAAGGCAGUGGCAAUGCUGGAGUUCCUGACGUUGCCUUGGGUAGAGGACCUGGAUAUGGCUGCGUUUUGCGCAGCUUCCUUGCGUGUGGGCCCCUCCCAUUGUAGUCGGCAGACCUGAGUGGCCUUGUGAUAUAGUUGGCCUGAGGCUUAAAUGCAGCCCGCCAGUAGGCAGUUGCUUGUAGUCUUCGUGUAUUCCGAGUACUUAUACUCGUAUGUAACCUGAUGUAUCCUUGUUUCAAUAAAGAAAUAUUUUUAUGGAGAUUUUGUACCAGGGCAGUGACCCUUGUUGAGUUGAUAACUCUUGUCAAAGCUGAGGUAUUUUGAAGUCGGUAGUCGGGAAGUUAGCCCGAGUAGUAAUCAUGAGUGCCUUGGAGCGAUUACUCGGAUGCCACUAUGGAUAAUAGCGACAGAGUUGUUUUAUAUUCCAGGAGUUUGGUACUUGUUCUCCUGAGAGCUCUUGGAGUCUGUAAGAUCCAGGUCCCGUAACCUUUGAUACGAUGUAAGGACCUUCCCAUGGUGAAUUGAGUUUAUGCAACCCUGACGUGUCUUGGAUACGCUUAAGGACCAUAUCGCCCAAGUUGAAAGAUCUUUCCUUGACGUUGCGGUCGUGGUAAUGCCUUAAACCAUCAAGGUAUCUAGCGGAUUGCACUAGUACUGCGCAUCUUGUUUCUUCUAAACUGUCUAUAUCUGUUCGUCUUGUUUCUGUCGCCAGUUCUUCGUCGUAGUGCUCAACGGAUGGUGAUUGCCACAUGAUGUCAACGGGUAGUAUGGCUUCCGAACCGUAUACCAGGAAAUAGGGUGAUAGCCCCGUAGUCUUGCACGGUUGGGUAUGGAGGCCCCACAGAGCAUUGGGUAACUCUUUGAGCCAUUUGCCACCUUUGGUGUUGCCAACGUCAUGUAGUCUUUUCUUCAGGGUGUCUAGUAUCAUGCCAUUAGCACGCUCAACUUGUCCAUUGGCUUGCGAGUGAGCGACCGAGAUGUAGCGGACGUCGAUGCCGCUAUUCUCGCAAUAUUCCCAAAAGUCGUGAUUGUUGAAGUUUCACCCUAGGUCUGUGAUAAUCCUGUUUGGAAAACCGUAGCGGUGUAUGAUUUCGUCCAGGAAGUCGAGGACCCAGUCUGCCUUGGGGCAAGUGACUGGUUUGACCUCGAUCCACUUGGUGAAUUUGUCGAUUGCCACGAGUACUCGGUUGAAUCCUCCUGGCGCAGUUGGUAACGGCCCUAUCAUGUCGAGCCCCCAGCAGGCAAACGGCCAUGUUGGAGGUAUUGUGACUAGCUUGUAAGCCAGUACAUGUUGUUGUUUUGUGAAGAAUUGACAACCGUUGCAUUUUUGAACUAGUUGUUUAGCGUCGACCAGAGCCAUUGGCCAGUAGAUUCCUCCUCUGAAAGCCUUGCCAACUAGUGUCCUCGAGGAGACAUGGUUGCCACAGAUUCCUCUAUGAAUUUCCUCUAGGAUUUCUUGGCCAUCUUCUCUGGUGACGCACUUCAUGAGUACUCCAGACGAUGCACCUUUCCUGUAGAGCUUGCCUCCGACUAGAACGUAAUUUUUUACUCGCCGGGAGAUUUGCUCAGCUUUACUUUUGUCGGAUGGUAAUUGGUGAUCUUUGAUGUAGUCGAUGAAGGGUGCCCUCCAAUCGACUUCUAUCAUCAUGAUUUCACGAGAGACGUCAGCAGUUGGAAUUGCUGGCGGUGUGACUUGGUCGGAUAUGGACAGUUUGCGCAGUUCGUGUACGAAAAUUCCUGCUGGAACCUCUGCGCGAGUGGAGCCCAUUUUAGAUAGGACGUCGGCAGCAAUGUUGUUGUCGCGGAUGAUGUGAUGAAAUUCCAAGCUUGAGAACUUGUUCUCCAGUUUGCGGACUUCUUUGCAAUAAGCGUCCAUGUUGUCCUUGUUCCGGUCCCACUCGUCAUUGACCUGGUUUAUAACAACUAGAGAGUCGCCAUACACCAGUAGUCGUUUGAUGCCGAGGGAGAUUGCAAGGCGAAGGCCGUGUAGCAGUGCUUCAUACUCGGCUUCGUUAUUAGAUGCUUUCCAGAAUAUUUGCAGCACGUACUUGAGUUGGUCUCCCCUGGGGGAGAUGAGCAAUACGCUUGCGCCAGCUCCUUCAAGUUUGAGGGAUCCGUCAAAGUACAUUACCCAAUGUUCUGGUCGUUCGACUGGUGUUGGAACUUGAUUUUCAGUCCAUUCAGCUAUGAAGUCGACCAAAGCUUGAGAUUUGAUGGCUGUCCUUUGCUUGAAGUCCAAGGUGAGAGCUCCGAGUUCAAUUGCCCAUUUGGAGAUUUUGCCCGUGGCAUCUCUGUUGUGGAGAAUUUCGCCGAGCGGGAAGUCGGAGAUGACUGUGAUGUUGUGCUCUUGGAAAUAAUGGCGCAGUUUCCGGGAGGUGAGCAGAAUUGCGUAUAAGAGCUUUUGUAUCGGUGAAUACCGAGUUUUGGAGUCCAAGAGUACUUCGCUGAUGUAGUAGACAGGUCGUUGGACCUUGUAAGUGUGGCCUGGUUCAGACCGUUCAACUACAAUUGUCGUGCUGACGACAUGAGUAGUAGCUGAGAUGUAUAGGAGCAAGUCUUCGUUCGGAGAAGGAGCGGUGAGUACAGGAGGCUUUGACAGGAAGUCUUUGAGCUGUGCUAGUGCCUCAGCUGCCUCUUCCAUCCAUUUGAACUUGUCCUGACGUUUGAGAAGCUUGAAGAAGGGUAGUCCCCGUUCUCCAAGUCUCGAGAUGAACCGGUUGAGAGCGGCCAUGCAGCCUGUGAGUUUCUGCACAUCCUUAAUGCUAGCUGGUGCCUGCAUGUUUGUGAUGGUAGAUAUUUUUUCCAGGUUGGCCUCGAUGCCGCGAUGGCUAAUGAUGAACCCGAGUAGUUUGCCGGAAGGUACUCCAAAGACGUACUUAGUAGGAUUGAGUUUCCAUCGAAAAUCGCGUAGACUAGAGAAAGUUUCCUCCAAGUCCGUAAUGAGUUCCUCCCGGUUUCUUGUUUUGACGACUACGUCGUCAACAUAAGCUUCAACAUUGCGGUGAAGUUGCUUUUCGAAGCACAUCUGUAUGGCCCUUUGAUAAUUUGCCCAUGCAUUUUUUAGUCCGAAGGACAUUGUUUUGUAGCAGAAAGCUCCGAAAGGUGUGAUGAACGUUGUUUUGGCUUGAUCUUCCUCUUUGAGGCUUAUCUGAUGAUAGCCAGAGUAGCGGUCGAGAAAACAUAGUAAAGCGCACCCAGCGGUGGAGUCGACCACUUGAUCGAUCCUGGGUAGCCCGAAAGGGUCUUUUGGGCAGUGUUUGUUGAGGUCGGUGUAGUCAACACACAUUCUCCACUCGUUGUUUUUCUUACGAACGAGCACAGGAUUGGCGAGCCAGUCAAGAUGAAAAACUUCCUUGAUAAACCCUACCGCGAGUAGCUUGGCUAACUCUUUUUUGAUUGCUUCUCGUCUGUCUUGAGCGAACUGGCGUAGUCGUUGUCGUUUUGGAGUAUCUUUGGGAUCGACAUUGAGAGAAUGCUCGAUCAGCUCCUUGGGCACACCUGGUAUGUCAGCCGGUUUCCAAGCGAAGAUAUCGUGGUUAGCCCGAAGGAAGCUGACGAGCGCGAAUUCCUAUUUAGGAUCUAGCCCUGUUCCGAUCAGUGCUGUCUUGGAAGGGUCGCCCAUCUGGAGGUCAACUGACUUGAAGUCGUGCUCGCUGGCAGGUUUCACCUUUGUGGACCUCAACUUGUUUUCGGGGAUCUCUAAUUCGUUUGGAUGGAGCUUCUUUGAAGCUAUGAAGACUUGUUGCAUGGGACUAGGUGCUUGAGUAGUCGCAGCAAUUUCCACGACUUCGGUGUCACAUUCGUAGGAUCGCCGUAGAUCUCCUCGCAGCAUGAGUUCUCCCUUGGGGCCUGGCAUUUUGAGUACCAGGUAAACAUAAUGUGGUAUGGCCAUGAACUUGGCGAGUGCCGGCCUUCCGGGUAUAGCAUGGUAAGAUGUCUCGAAGUCGGCGACCUCGAAUCUGAUGUACUCUGUACGGUAAUGUUCCUUAGUUCCGAAGGUGACUGGAAGGACAACUUGUCCUAGUGGUAUAGCCGCGUUACAAGGGAUGAUGCCAUAGAAGGGUGAAUCUGUUGGAGUAAGCAUUUCAGUAACGUCGAGGCACAUCUUCCUUAAUGUCUUGGCGAAAAUAACAUUGAGUCCGCUUCCGCCGUCGAUGAGUACUUUGGUUAACAUUGAGCCUGCCACAACCAGAUCCAGGACUAGUGGGAAACGGCCUGGUUCCGAGAAUUUGGUCCAUUGAUCUUUUCUGCUGAAAGAAAUUGGAACUUCUGACCAUUUUAACGGUGUAGGAUCCGUUGGUUCGAUGGCCAUGAUCUCCCUGAGUAUGAGUUUGUUGGCUCGCUUAGAUGCGGUGCCUGGGAUACCGCCGAAAAUGACGUUGACGGUUUUUGAGUCUGUCUGGAAGUCGCCUUCUUCGUCUUCGUCAUUGCAGGCUUUGUUCUUACCCUUAUCUCUUUUCUUGGUGUACUCUUCAGGAGGUGGUGGUGCGGGUAAGUCUUGCAUGACUCGGCGCAUGCUGUAGCAGUCUAUCGCCGAGUGCUUGCUAGUCGGGUGCCAUGGACACUGCUUUUUGAGUAGUUCAAUGAAAGUUGGCCCUUCAUCAUUUCUGCGGGGUUCCUUUUUCCCGAAGUUGGUCAUGGCGGCAAUAGUGUUGUUGGGCUUCCUUUUGCGAUUGUGAUUACUCGAAUAAUUGUUUCGAGCAUCAUUAUGCCGGGUUCUAUCUGGGUCAUUGUUGUGGUUGUUGUCGCGUCCACGGUUACGAUGGGAGCCGAACCAUUCUCGCUCUUUGUCUUCUUCAUCCGCCCACUGUUGCACCAUGACUUUGAGUUCUUUGACAUCAACUGGUCGUCGGUGACUGAAGUCUUGGUAUGUUCGUUGAUAGUAGAGUCUAUUUUGGAAGCACUCAAUGACGUCUAUUUCGGAGAUGUCAACUAUGGUAGCCUUCUUUUCGAAGAAUCGUCGCAGAUAGUCGCGUAGGGUCUCGCCUUAUUUUUGCUUAAUUUGACUUAAGUCGAUCUUGUUGCCUGGUCUAGCCAUGGAGCCGGUGAAGUUGUUGGUGAAAGCCUUUGUCAAGUCUGCCCAGGAGUCAAUGGACUUGGGUUUGAGUGACUCAAGCCAGGUCAGUGGUGCGGGUUCCAUGCAUAUGGGGAAGUGGAUAACUUUGGUGUCGUUAUUGCCCCCGGCUGCUUGGACGGCUAGCGAGUAGCAUCGUAGCCAUUGGAUUAGGUCUUGUUUGCCAUCGUACUUGGUGAUUCCGGCUGGCUUGAACUUUUCGGGUAAUUUUGUUUUCAUUACCCGAUUUGUGAAAGCGGGAAAAUGGUUGUAGUUGUCAACUUCUCGUUCGCGCCGACUGUUGAGAAUUUCUCGCAGAUCACUAAAGUUGGACACUUCGUGGUUCUUCCGAGUAGGGCGGAUGCUUUUAACUGAGUUGAUGCAGCUGACCUCACCAACAUCCUUAUGUCGAGCAGGGGCCUUAUGCUUGCUUGGACCUUGGCUGUGUUGCCGAGGUUGGUUGACUGCAUUGCCGUUUCUUGGGGCGGUGUUAAUAUCUGCAGCUCCCCUGCUACCUUCUUAAUGAGCUGUGAUGCGAGGAACAGAUGGGAUUGGUGAUUCUUUGUCGAGUAACUUGUAAGCUUGCUCCGUGAGUUGUGCGAUCAGUCCGUUGCCGCGCUGCACGAGUUGAGCUGUGGCUUCGUUAUCCUUAUCCUGAGGCAUCAAUGUUGUUAAAAGGUUGAUUGAGGCGAUAGCCGCGAGUGGAGUAUUGUGCUCCUGAGCCUGGACUGCGUUGAAAGCCCUUUCAAGACUUGUAAUGGGAAUAUUUGUAGCCAUCGACUGUCAUCGCUCGGCUCGAGUAGCGUUGCGCGUCCUUCUUUAGUUGCGCUGCUCGGAGGUUUCAUCGUGAGGGGCGUCAGCUGUAGACUCAUCUUCGGAGAUGUUGUCGAUUUGUGCUAAUCGCCUGGGGGUUCUGUUCUGGCUAGUACCCGAGUUGUUAUUCUGAGUAAUAACAAUUAUCUCCCUGUCCGGGUAGUAGCUCUCGGAGCUUGAUGUUGCAAUUUCUGUGGAACUUUCCUCGUGGUUAGAAGUGAGUGGAACACCUUCUUGAUAUGGGAGGUUGUCUAUAUGGGCGACAAGGCGCGAUUCGUAGCCACGGUCAAGGAAAGACGGUCGCAAUCCCGGCCAGUGGACGAAUCUGCCAUGUGAUGUUGAAGUUAUUACCAAUCCUUGGGCUGGACCAGAUAAUGGUGUCUCUAGCGAAUAGGACGAGUCGGAGUCGACAUCUUCAUCAUGCCCGAGUUCGAAUCGGGUUCGAGUAAGAAAGCCUUGGUGAACUUUGGUUGUGUUGCGGAGUCCGUGCGGUAACCGCUCUGAAGUCAAAACCGACUCGAGCACUGGCUGGAACCGACUAAUCCGAGGCGAGUCCGACUCCAAGUUUCGGGGUCAGUUGAGCCCGACCCUUUGGGGGGUGAACUCCGCCUCGCCCGACCCUGAGCCCUGCGGUCGGGUGUGCCUGACCUUUGAGCAGAGGGUUGGAGUAGUCUGAGGCGAAGUCGAGUCCGACGCGUAGUCAAACUCGAAUUCGUCGAUUUUGAAAUCUUGAUCUUUUCCGAUCAGGUUUUUUGGUUUCUUCUCCUGAGCGUCGACGAUCUGGCGCUGAAACGAACCCGAGCCAUCGGCGAUGCAAAGCCAAGAUCCGAAAACGAAGGUGGCGCCGGCUUCGAUGAAGAAGACGGGCCUGAUGAUGAUCUUUGCCAUUGAGUUCGCGCUGAGAAACUCGACGAGUGCCCCUACUUGGCGCGCCAGCUGUCAGUGUUUUAGACCGACAACCCACCUAGGGGGUACCCUAGGUGGUCUUUUAUGCGGUAAGGAUCGUCGAGAAUCAAGGAAUCAAUGGUGACGCAGGGAACACGAUUUAGACAGGUUCGGGCCGCUAGAUCGCGUAAUACCCUACAUCCUGUGUGUUGGUUUGUAUUUGGUGAACUCGAGUUGUUGAGGGGGGUCCCUGCCUACCCUUAUAUACACGGGAGGGCAGGGUUACAAGUCUUGAGUCCUAGUCGGGUACUAUUACAAAGUUCUACUGGGUAAGGCCCGAGUAGUUUUCCAUAAACAUACUUGACUAGUCCGAGUGGGAUACGCCUAUCCCUUGUUUCGAUUGUAUCCGAGUACGCCCCUGAGUGGGCCGUCCAAGGUAUACUCGUGGGCCUGGGGUGCAUGCCCGACACCGCUGACCUAGGCAGACAAAGAUCUGAUCCAAACUCAUUGCGAGGAACUCAGGGAUCACCUUCCUGUGCACAUCAAAAGGAUCAUAGACAACAUCGAGGUCAACGCUUCUAAAAGGCCAACUCAACAACCAGUCGAAAGGAGUCACCAACUGCCUCAUCAAGUUGCUCUCGAAGAUGACAUGGCGGAAGUGGAGGAGAAGAAUGCCCGCCUUCAGAUCGAAUUAGAUCGACUCCAAAAAGAGAUUGACAUGAAUAAAGCUCAACUGAAACACCGUUGAAUCAUUGUAACCUAUAAGUGUGCUGGUACUUUUUUAUCUGAGGGCGACUUGUACCAUGUUGGCCAUGUAUCUAGUUGAUUUACCGAGUGACGAUUGGUUUAUUCAUAUAAAUCCUUUGAUCUUAAGGCGAUGUCCUUCGCAUCGUCUAUAUGAACAUGACUCAAUACGCGUCGGCCAUGAAAGCCCAAUAUGCCACAUUAUCGGUUAAGCGUCUACCCAUAUACUGGGGUAGUAUCUUUUCAAAUAUCUUCCAUUUAGAUCCCUUGUAAAUUCCUCUCCCUCGAAAGUCUCCAGUAUGUACGCGUUGCCUGGAGCACAUUGGCUAAUCCGGUACGACCUUCCCAAGUAGGCAACCAUUUUCCAUAUUUGGGAUCUUUAGCUCCUAUCGGCAGGAUCAACUUACAGACUAAAUCCCCUUGGGAAAAAUUGCUUGACCUUGACCUUCUUGUCAUACCAUAUGGCAACUCUUUUCUUAUUUUCCUCAAUACUAAUCAAGGCCCUUAGCCGCUGACUCGCCAAAUUCUCCAACUCUCCCCUCAUGAGACGGGAAUAGUCAUCGACCGACAACUGAUCCUGAAGCGACAUACGCCUAGACCCAUUCUUCAACUCCCAAGGCAAUACUGCUUCAUGCCCAUAUACUAACUGAUAAGGGGACACCUUGGUGGUACCGUGACAAGCCAUCCGAUAUGCCCACAAGGACUCACUCAGUGUUGUAUGCCACCAUCUUGGUUGUUCUUCGAUCUUCCUCUUAAUCAGCUUAAUAACCCCUUUGUUGGACGAUUCGGCCUGACCAUUGGCCUGAGCGUAAUACAGAGAAGAAUUUAACAACUUAAUCCCCAUACCGGCAGUGAACUCCUCGAACUCCCCUGAGGUAAACAUUGACCCCUGAUCAGUCAUAAUAGUCUAAGGAAUACCAAACUGAUAAAUAAUGUGCUCCUUCAGAAAUUCAAUCAUGUUGGCCGACGUCACAACUUUCAAAGGAGCCGCCUCAACCCACUUGGUGAAAUAGUUAGUAGCCACCAAUAUGAACUUAUGCCCUUUGCUCGAUGGCGGAUAGAUCUGACCGAUGAGAUCAAUUCCCCAUCCUCUAAACGGCCACGACUUUAUUAUCGGGUUCAUAGCCGAGGCCGGUGCUCAUUGCACGUUGCUAAAUUUCUAACAAUCCUGACAGCCUCUAUAAUAUUUAAAACAAUCUUCAAGUAUUGUCAACCAGUAAUACCCACUGUUUCUAAUCAUCCAUUUCAUCUUGAAGGCCGAUUGAUGGGCCCCGCAUACACCUUCAUGAAUUUCACCCAUAAAAGUUUUUGCUUCCUCUAUGCCGAGGCAUUUGAGUAAUACUCCAUCAAUCAUCUGAUAAAAUAAAUCAUCUUCAAGUAAUACAUAUUUUGUAGCCUGGAAGCAUAUUCGCCGAUCAACUUUCUUGGACGGAUCCUUCAAAUAGUCGGCAAUUUCUUUCCUCCAGUCGUCGGCCGCAAGUUCUAGAGCCAAAGCACCUUGAAUCGGCUGGUAACCAGAAGCGUGCUGGGCAAGUCUAUUGGCUUCCUCGUUGUAAUCUCUAGGGAUAUGUUCGAUGACUACAUUAUUGAAUUCUUUGAGUAACUGGAGGCAUUCCUCAUAAUAAAUCCUCAGAAUAUCAUCUUUGUACUCACAUUUUCCAGUCAACUGAUCUCCGAUAAGCAUGGAAUCCCCAAAUAUUUUCACCGCAUCAGCCUUGACCUCCCUCAACAGUUGGAUGCCCUUUAAGACAGCCCGAUACUCUGCUUGAUUAUUAGUGGCGGAAGCCUCAAUCGGCAGAGAGAAAUCAUAACUUGCCCCCCAAGGCGAUACGAGGAUGAUGCCGAAUCCUGAUCCAACCUUACAUGAAGAUCCAUCAAAGUAUAAAGUCCACAGAGCUGGUUCGACAACAGUAAUUUCUGGUCCACAGUGUUGGGCUACGAAAUCAGCCAUCACUUGACCCUUGACAGCCUUGGCCGAUUCGUACCUCAAAUCGAAUUCCGAGAGGGUCAGGAUCCACUUUCCAAUUCUACCCUUCAAAAUCAGCAGUGAUAACAUAUACUUGAUGACAUCAUCUUUACACACGACUACACGUUCCGCCGACAACAGGUAGUGCCUGAGUUUAGUGCAGGAGAAAUAUAGGCAAAGGCAUAACCUCUCCACUGGAGAAUACCUGGUUUCAGCAACUAAGAGUCUCCUGCUGACGUAAUAAAUUACCCUUUCUCUUCCUUCAAACUCCUGGACCAGCACCGAGCCGAUAGCCCGUUCAUCAGCCGAUAGAUAUAAUCUGAAAGGCUUAUCAGCCUGAAGAGGAACCAACACGGGAGGGGACAUCAGAUAUUGUUUGAUGUCAUCUAACACUUUUUGUUGUUCUUCGCCCCAAACAAAUUCUUGGUUGGGCUUCAACUUCAACAAUGGGCUGAAAGCUUGAAUGCGUCCAGACAGGUUUGAUAUGAAUCUCCGGAUGAAGUUGAUCUUGCCGAUUGAGGACUGCAACUCAAUCUUGUCUUGUGGGACCACAACUUUGUUGAUGGCGGUUAUGAUCUUCUGGUUGAUCUCGAUGCCGCGCUCGUGAACCAUAAAACCCAGAAACUGACCAACUGAAACACCAAAAGCACACUUUUUCGGAUUCAUUUUCAACCCAUGCUUCCUCGUGCACUCCAGCACUUUACACAAAUCGGCCAAAUGCUGUCGAUGUCCCUUUGACUUGACAACUACAUCAUCGAUGUAAAUUUCUACCAGAACACCGAUAAUCAUGUGGAAUAUAUAAUUCAUGGCCCUCUGAUAUGUAGCUCUAGCAUUUUUCAAACCGAAAGUCAUGACUACCCAUUCGAACAAAUCGAGAUGACCAGGACACCUGAAGGCCGUUUUGGAGAUAUCUUCUUCGGCCAUUAAUACUUGAUUAUAUCCGGCGUUACCAUCCAUAAAGCUGAUGACCUUGUGUCCCGCGGCAGCAUCUAUCAAAACGUCGGCCGUUGGCAUCGGGUAUCCAUCCAUCGACGUAGCUUGGUUAAGAUUUCUGAAAUCAAUGCAAACACAUAGUUUUCCAUUUUUCUUGUACACAGGAACAAUAUUAGAAAUCCAAUCAGCAUAUCGACAUUGCCGAAUGAACCCCGCUUGAAUCAAUCUUGUGAUUUUGGCCUUUAUAUCAGGUAGAAUUUUCGGAUUACAACGUCGCGCGGGUUGCUGAUAUAGCCGAUACCCUAGUUUUAUGGGCAACCAAUGUUCGACAAUCGACCAGUCUAGACCAGGCAUUUCAUGAUACUCCCAAGCAAAGCAAUCUUUAAACUCCCUUAACAAAUCUACUAACUCACGCUUAUACUCAGGGUCCAAUUUAGCACUAAUAUACGUCGGCCUUGGCUUGCUACCAUCUCCAAGGUCUACCAUCUCUAACGAAUCGGCCGACAUGAACCCAUGCCCAAGCUUUCCAUCUUCUCGAACAAACUCAUCCAUUAAGACUAUUCUUCGGAGCCAACUACUUGGAUCAGUUGUAGACCGAAAUCGGACCUUCAAGAAGUCGGUGUCCCAGGUCCUACCAGAUAUGCAUCUGACGUGUUCGUAACUCCAUUGCUGCGCGUCGGCUGUGGCAAUGCUGUAAGAGGAAUCGGCAGUGACCACUUCAAUCGUGUCGUCGAUCCACUGGAUGAGGCACUGGUGCAUUGUAGAUGGCAUGCAGCAAUUUGCGUGGAUCCAGUCUCGUCCAAGCAGCAUAUUAUAGGACCCUUUACCGUUAAUGACAAAGAAAGUGGUAGGUAGGGUCUUACUGUCGAUGGUGAGGUUGACACAGAGUGCUCCCCAGGCUGGUGAUAUGUUUCCUUCGAAGUCUUUAAGCAUCAUUUCCGUCUUGAUCAAGUCUUCUUCUCAUUUGCCAAGUUUGCGGAACAUGGCGUAUGGCAUGAUGUUCACGGCUGCGCUCCAUCUACCAAUAGCUUGGUGAUUGGCUUUCCGUUGACCUGCCCCUUGAGGAACAGAGCCUUGAGGUGCUGGCGUUUUUCAUCUUCGGGUUUUUCAAAAGUGGCAGUCAUUGGCUCCAAAGCCAAUUGUGCCAUCCAAUCUUCUGCCUCUGUUGCGCUAUCGCAGUCAGCGGGAACCAUGAACUCUAUUGGUAAGAUGAACACCAUGUUAACGUCGGCAAACGGCCCUUGAUCAUUGUUUCCCUCGUCGGCUUUUCUUCUGGGGCGCCAAACUUGAGUCUUGACUCCUUUUUUGUCCAACGCUUGCCUCUGUUCUUCCUCUUGUUGUUCCCAUUGGCGUAAAUGUUGGACCCUUCUCUUCUGGGACUUGGUCAAACCAUCUGGGCACCAUUUGGGGUUCACUGGUUUGCCUGGCGGUUUCGUACAUUCCCAGUCCGUCUCUUGGCCCAACGGAUUUUCAUCGGGGACUCUUGAAUCGGCUAUCUCUCCCAGCUGAUUAUACGCGCUAGCUCUGCUCCCCAGCUGAUUACGCUCGUGUACUCUGCCUCCCAACCAAUCACACACUGAAACACGUCUGUCAUCUCGUUUGAGCCAGUUUCUACUGAUCGAUUUCUGCCCUCGAUCUCCGGAGCGUGACCUCUUGAAUGGGCGGCUGUUGCGGCAUUGGCCGUUGCACUCAGGACAGUUAUCGGCCGACGGCAAUCUGAGAUUAUUCUCCCAACAGUGGAUGAAGAACGGACAUCUCCAAUGGUCUUCGUGCCGGCGCAUCAUCUCUUCUCUGCGCCUCGUGUCUUCCUGUUGCCUUUGGUACUCGUUGAGUAGAUCCCGAGACGUGAUAGGCCGAUGGGACCUUUCCAGGUUCUCAUCCUCUAUUUCUGUUUGGCCUUUUCCUUUAACAUCACCGGUCGAGACUUGAUUCCUAGGGUCCACAGCCCUACUCCUUCUGGUCGAUUCUGAUGUUAGCACCUUGGUUUGGAGUGCAUUCAUUCCGCCGAAGUCGACCAUGUUGGCUGGGAAGUGAUGCUGGUCGAUCUUCAUUGGCUUUGCUGGCUUUGUGGGAACCUCGAAUUUAAGUCUCCCUUGCUCAAAGGCCGACUGUAUCUAUUGAUGGAAGACUUUGCACUCAUUGGUGUCGUGAGAUGUGGCAUUGUGCCACUUGCAGUACUUCAUCUUGUUAAGCUGUUUGGCCAAUGGGAUUGUGUGGUAGGGUGAGAGCUUCAUCUGUCCUUCUUGUAGCAGUAAGUCAAAGAUUUUAUCGGCCUUAGAUGUAUCGAAGCUAAACGUUUCCGGUUCCUUUUUUCCAAAUGGGCAUGAGAUUGGCUUUUUGCCUUUGACCCAUUCUGCCAAGCCGAUUUCCACCUCCUCUUCUGAAUCGGACACUCCCACGUAUGCCUCCUUUUUCUGGAAGUUUCUUCGUUAGUCAAAGGGGCGCACCUCCUGGCUGGACAGCCGGUGUACUAUCUGGCUUAGACUCUCGAACUCCUUGGAAGCAUAUUUUUCUUUGAUGUGCGGUAGGAGCCCUUGAAAAGCGGUAUCGGCCAGCUGACCAUCAGUCAAAAUUAGACUUUAGCAUUUGUUCCUGACCUCUCUGAACCUCUGUAUAUAGCUGGCCACCGACUCGUUGCUUCUUUGCUUGAGGCUAGUUAGGUCUAAUAGCUUCAUCUCGUGGAACCUCGCAAAGAAGUACUUGUGCAAUUGUUUCUCCAAAUCAGCCCAAGUGACGAUGGAGUUAGGCGGUAGCGUCGUAAACCAUUGAAAGGCUAACCCAGACAGAGACGAUGAGAACAACCGCACCCUCGGAGCAUCCUGUGCAGCAGCUUCUCCGCCUAGAUGAUCUGUUGACGUGCUCGACCGUGGAUGUGUCAUCUUAACCCGAGAAUUUAGUGAAGUCGGGCACCUUGUAUCGAUGAGGAAACGGCAAAAGGUUGUAGGCGGGUGGGUACGGCAUCCUAUAUGUGUAGGUCUGCACCUUUAGCUUUAGUUCGAACUGGUCUUGUAUUAUAUCAGCUAUUCUUGCGGUCCAAUCCACCUGCUGCUGCUGCUGAUGUGCGAUCGGCUGAGCCAUCGGCAUAUGUUGUUGAACUUGCGGCACCGUGAUUGGGUUGAAGAUUGGAGUGUGCUGUAGAACUUACAGCUGGACUGUCGACUGAGGAGCCGAUGGUUGCUGACGAGUAGGAUCAACAUGUCGUAGUGCAUCUGCUGCCUCGUCGUACAAUACCAUUGGCGCUGCAGUUCUGAGACGAUCCUGGAUGCCUGCCCCUCUGCCAAUUUCUAGAGAAGUCUGUUGGCAUUGCGGAGCUGUCGGCUGGGGCACCAAUGGAAAUGAUAUCUGAACCGGAGAUCUUGGAAUGUAUGCUCCUAGAGGUACUCCGUAGCUAGUGGAUGGAUCCAGGCCGGCAGGUGUUCCUACCAUUCCCCACUGCGCCGAUGUUGUUAACGGCGGUUACACAGGAGGGACAGGUGUAGGCUGAAACGGUACUUGUGAUUGAGAAGGCGGUGCACCUCUAUAACCUGGGGGCAAUGUGGUGUUGUACCCCUCCUCCCCCGUUCUGCAUCUUCAUCGGCUGAGGAGCCGACUGGAACAUGCUAGGUGCCGCCGAGAAGCUUCUGACCGGUGUGCUGAUAGGAGGGGUGUAAGUUGGCCCCUGAUACCCUUGUGCUACACCAUUGGCCAUGGAGCUGAUGACGGCGUUGUACAUUGUGUGAGCUAUAACCUUGGAGUGAUCAAUCAUAGCCUGAUAAACAGACUGAUGGAUCAUCUCGGACAUUUUUCCCGAGCCUUCGGCAAUGGUGAUUUGGCGAGUAGUCAGGAGAGCGGUCUUCUUGACGGGUUCCCCACUCCUGGUGCGACUGUAGGAUUGCAGGCAUGCCUUCUUGAAUUCUUCCAUAGCCUUUGCCAUCUUAUCCCUCUAAUCGUCCUUGAGAUCAGCCUUAGUGACUUCAAUGACGUUAUCUUUCGAGAUUUCAACAGCCUUUGACAUGCUGGGUCCUCUUUUGGUCCCACCGGGCGUGCUAAAAGUGUGUUGAUGCAAAAAAAUCGGACAGUGGUCCUGACUCCUACGUCGGACACACGACCCGGGAGAAUCUGCUUAGCUCCUAUUCGGGUUAUUGCCCUGGUGCGAUUUGCGCGGCGUGCCAGUCAAUCUAACCUGUUGAUUGACAGGGAAGAAAAGAUAUCAAAUUCCAGAGAUUCGAUCAGCUGAAAGUUCCGAUCUAUUCCAAAAGAUGUAUCAGCAGAUUGGCCGAUUUAGUGUAAAGAUGACCGGCUAUGAAACAGCCGAUAAUCACGUGGCAAUUGUAAAAGAAACUACUGUUGUAAUCCUAAACAAUGCUAUAGAUACAACACUUGGAACAGAUCUAAUCAGCUGUAUGAUGAUAAACAAGAUAUUGAUAUAGCCGACAGUUCGUGCCUCAAGCUAGAUAACUGGUGAUAAAAACUAAAAUAACAGGUAAAACCUAUAAUUCUAGUAGAUAUCGAUAACUAGUGAAUAAAUCUAAAUGAAACAACAGCGAUGCGCCCGAAGUUAAAGCUUAGAUAUUACUUGAUACGCGGAACUUACAAAUUAGCUGGAGGUCGUGUUGAUGCAGUCCUGCCAACUCACACGAACUCGUGAAAAGAAAAGGAUUUGGCGAAGUCGCUGACUUAAAAUUAAAGUUGCGUGAAAGAGUAGAUUUGUAUUGAUAAUUAUUAGGUUGUUUUACAAACCUUACGAAGCACCUAUUUAUACCCUGUUACAACUGAUUUCCUAACGGACUAUGAUUUUAUCUCUAAUUCAAAAUAACAAUUUUUUACAUAUGAACACAACUCGUAUCGGAGUCGAACACUAAUCAAUCUUCUAUGGGCCAACUAUGUCUUCAUCUUGUUACUGCCUUGGCCCAUUUAAGCCCAUGUCGGCCGAGCUACUCUGGCUUCCGAUCGACCCAUCUCCAUUGACUUCAUCGGCUAAUCGACCGAAACACUGUAGUUUUAUCGGCCGAUUUCCCUAGCCACAUCCUCCUAUUUAACUGCACCGGCCAUUUUCUUCUUUUCUUGACACCGACCCUAACACGUGUUAAAAUCCGAUGUGGGCACGCACACAAGCACGCUGACGAACAGGCCAGCCACCUCGGCGGCACCAUUCGAUGGGUACCGACCCACCCACCAGCCGGCUCCAUCCUAUCCAUGCUGCCGACACACCGGUGUAAUCAUCGAUCCAAGGCGACCUGCUAGCGGCGCAAGUACACUCGCCGUGUUCCGAACCGAGCAGCCAUUCGUGCAAAAAUCGCGCGGAAACAGCACUCGGCACUGGACUCGCAAGUACUAUGAUGGCCACGGGGAUUGGGAAAGGUGGCCGCUGGCGCCACCGUGGCGUGCGGUCGUGUGGAGGCCGAGGCCGCUACGUGCCCGCCUCCUCCUCACAAAGCCCUAGGCCCCCCCGCGACCUCCCCUCCCCCCGUGCCGUCCCUCUCGCUGCCCCCGCCUCCUCCUAUCCCCUCCGUCCUCAUACACACACACGAGCUGAGGCGCUGAGCCUGAGCGCGCGCGCGCGCCCGAGCCGAGCGAUGAUGCGUUGCAUGGCUCCGCCACACACUACCCGUGCCCGUACCCACCCAACGCUGCAUAAGUAUCUCCGCCGGUUCCUCCUCGUGCCUGCUUUGCACCAUACACCUACACGCCGCCGCUGAUACUACGCUCUAUAGCUCUUCUCGGUGCAGACCUCGAUCGAUUGGCCGGCCAUCGCUACCACCUCCGAGCACGCGCGGCCCCCGCGCCGGUGUCGUCCCGCUUUCCGUCACGACCAUCGUGUCGUGCUGCAAGGCCUGCAGUGCGCGACCGUGAGGAUAUAUCAGCCACGCGAUCGCGGGGGAGAUGAACCAGUGCGUGCCGAGUUGGGAUCUGGACGACCCGGCGGUGGUAGCCGGCGGGGGCGGCGGCGGUCUUAACCAUCCGGUGCCCGCGGCCGGCGGCGCGCACCGGGUGGUGGUGUCGGCUGCUGGGACCACCGGUGGCGCGUUCGCGCCCGUCGUCGUGCCCAUGUCGGACAAGUACUACGAGGUGGCGGAGCUGACGUGGGAGAAGGGCAACAUCUCCUCGCACGGGCUGCUCAACCGGCCGGCGCCCAGCAAGUACCCUCCCGCCGCGCCGUCGCAUCUGCAAGGCAUAGGUGGAGGCGCCGGCGCCGACGGGGUGGCUGGGGACCGCGAGACGCUCGAGGCGGUGGUCGGCGAGGCGGCCGCGCGGUCGCACUUCCUCUCGCAGCCGCCGGCGGUGCACCACCACGCGCCCUGGCUCGGGGCGGCGGGCGGCGCCGUGGCGCGGACGGGCGCGGACGCGCUAGUGCCGUGCGCCGCGAGGGUGGUGGACGAGGCGGCGGAGGGGGGCGACGCCGCCGACGCGUCGAGGAGAAAGCGGGCACGGGUGGUUGGAGAGGACGGGCUGGUGUGCGCCAGCCAGGGGAGCGCCGCGCCCGGCCGCCGCGGCGAGAGCGCGCUGCUCACGCUGGACGGCGGCUGCGGCACCGGGGCCGACGACCUGUGCGGGUUCACGACAACCACCAACAACUCCACAUCCCUGGACAGGGACGACAAGGGCUCCCCGGACACGGAGAACACCAGCAUCGGCGGGGGCGCCAGCGACUCUCGCUGCUUCAGCCGUCGGUCACAGGCAAGCAGCUACCCGUUCCUGAUGAAUGAUGAUCAACUAUAUAUAUACAUGUGCAGCUCACAUUUAUUAAAUAUACACAUGUCUCCAGUUAGCUUAGCUAGUUACAUGCAUGCAGAGUUUGUGUUCUACUGAUUGAUUUAUUUGCAGAUUAUUCCAUAAGCUUAUCUUUGUAUGAAUCCAUCAUGCAUGCAUGUCUCUGCUGGCGAAACGAAAAAAAAA
This 61975-nucleotide long non-coding RNA is filed under the name Setaria viridis. RNAcentral describes it as "long non-coding RNA (SVIR_LNC011106)". The record is from RNAcentral. Lineage: Eukaryota; Viridiplantae; Streptophyta; Magnoliopsida; Poales; Poaceae.